CUUAUCAAAGAUCAUGAUACGUCACUCUUUGACCUAUCCCUGAACAAACUUCAUUCAACAACACUAACAUUGUACAGGAACACCCAAGCUCUCUUCAAGUUUUGCUGCAGAGAAAGUAGCUCAAAAUAAGUAAUAAACCCAACUAACCAACUUCCUACAGGAUGCUUAUCCUCUGCUGGUCAAGCAUCGCAUGCCAUUCUGGUGCUGAGCAGCUUGAUCCAAAACCGGUGGUGGGGAUUCUGAAGAUAAGUGUGCAACUCAAUUUCUUGCAAGCAAACACACUUGAAAACAGCAAGACUUUCGAGUGUGUUCCAGUCACAGAACUGAAGAAGAACGAGGCCACACCAUAUCUACCUUCUCUAGUAAUCUGUACAAGCCACCAGUUGCUCAUCCUCCCUCAGCUUCUCCGCAGCAGAAAGCAGCAAAUCCACCGCUUCGAAAUUCCUACUUUCCAGCCUAGCAUCAUCCUUGCGGUGGUGCUUCAGCAUCUUCUUCUCGUACCGUCUCAUCCCCGCCUUUGCUCUCUCCACGCUACAACACGGGCAAUACCACUUCCCCUUGGGUAUCGAAGUAUGGAGAGGUGUUAUGCAGUACAGAUGAUAAGCCUCGUCGCAGCCGUCGCACAGAAUGGUCAGGUCAUCAUCUCUGUCAGAAAAACAAACUCGACAAAGGCAUGAUGGACAGUACCAGCACGGUUUGUCCCACUGCAUAUCGCUAGCAAUCUGUUUAGACUUCAGACAGCAAACGUGGUAGUACUUGUAUGGACAGUGGCUGUGACCACAUAUGAGGAAUCUCUUGGCAUCCUCUUCAGGAGUUCCACAUAUCUUGCAUGAACCACCGGGGCCAAUGUUCGACAGUUGCCGGCCCUCAAUACUGGAAUGCACAAUUGCUCUUGACGUACCAACAGAUGUCUGUUCUUUGCAUUCUGGGGGCCUGCACACCUCAAGUCUUUUGCAUAGGGCACAAUUUCCAUGCAAGCAAUUCGGUUCAUAAAGGGCCAUGCCUCCUUGAGCUGAUUCGUUGCAGGUGGUACUGCUGCAGCUUCUGCAAUACCAGCUUCCCAUCGACGUGGAUGAUACGGGAGGAUCAAUGCAUGACAUGUGACACGCUAACUUGCAUACAUUACAUAUGACGGUGCUGACACCUCCCGUCUCUUUGCCACAUUGGUCACAUGCACUGCCCUUUUGAACAUCAGAAAUAUCUGUUCGGUCUGCAUAGUCCAAUGGUUGGCAUCCCUGUGAGGUCGAGGGUACUGAUAUACCUGAUUCGAUCAGUUUCUUGGAUUCAGAGCUGGCCAACACAACUCCCUGUAAUAUUGGUAGCAUACUGUUGAGCAAAAUGAAUAAAUCCAUCAUGGAAACAUCAAAGCUAGCAACAGAAUAGUCACCUUGACUUGCUCCUCACCAUCACCUGAUCCUCUUUGUCUUCCAACCUAAAGAAUGCGAUACCAGAUUCCAAUGCAAAGGUGCUUAUCAGCAUCAAGUAAAUGUAUCAAAAGAUAUUCCUUCCUAACUGAAACAUAGAGAAGUAUAAAAGCAUUCAAAAUAUUAAAACUAAAAAAACAUAAUUUAAACCUAGCGACCAAAAACUUGCCUGAUUUGUGUAAGAGGCUUCUGUGAGGCUUGAAAGAUUAUUUGCUAGGUCAAUGAUAUCUUGGCCAGCCAUUUUAAGAUUUUCCCAUAACUACACAAAUAUCUCAACUGUUAAUUACCAUUCACCACCCCAAAAAAAAUUAAAUACAUGCCAUACAAAAUAUAUUUAUAGUCGGUUUAGAAAGCAGUGAGUAGCAGAUAGCGCUUAGGGAGACCGAAAGGAACUAACGGCAUAACCUGAAGAGCUGGGAUUUAGAGAAAGAUCUGGGUAUUGAACUCAUAAGAACCCAAAACUGUAGGUAGUAUGUUAGUUAAUCUAGUGUUCAAGUCGGUACGAACAACGAACUGGAUAAAGCGCCAGUGGCCCAGCCAUUACGUUAUUCCCUAUGAGGGAUAUACAACUUAUGCUUUGUAAAUUUGCAUUACUCUCAUGAUCAUCUAAUUGCUAUAAUUUUGAGUGAUGACCAUGGAAAACAAACACUAUACAUUUUGUUAUUCCAUGGCGGUGCACACAGGGAAUACAGUGAACAAUGGUAGACAUGUACUCCUUCCAUAUAUGGAGUACAUAUUAGAUCUGUAACUAUUCUGUUGUAUAUAGUUUUCUGCAUAUAUAUACCAUAAUGCAUACAAGUGCUAUUCAUAACAUGGGAUCAGAACAAACUAUAAUAUCUCUCUAGGACCUCAUAGUAUAUGCUAACGGGAUUUUACAUAUUUGCACAUUGUCAAAGUUAGGUGUGAACCUCAUAAUAUAUGCUAACGGGAUCUGUAAGAAAGCUGAAAAGUUGUAAGGUUAUUACCAGUUUUAAAUCAUCUUUGAAUAUUUCAGGUGUACACCCAUACUCUCCAUUUUUCAUUCUAGAGUCGAUCACACCAAAAUCGAAAUACUUAGUCCUUUCCUCAUCUUGAUGCACAGUUUUGCGAAGCACAUUGCAUAGCAACGCAAAAUCCUCUGAUCUCAAAAUGUCCACAAGAACGUUCUUGCACUCAGCAAUACCCAGAUUACUUGACACUGUUCUGUCAGAAUCCAUUUCCACUUUGUCUCUGACCUGAUAUAAUAGAGAAAAAUAUUGUGGGCAUUUGAUAAGACAAUGCAAUACAACUGGUCCCUAAAUAAGAGUGUAAUAAGUGUAUAACAACAAAAUAGAACUGCAAUUUUCUAGUAAUAAUUAGUCUUAUCACUUACAGAUUCAAAUUCAGCGCAACUGUCGAGGACAUCACGGAUGCAACUCUGGAUGCCAGCACCCUCCUGUACACCUUGCAAAUGCAUCAGUCCAUUCAAAACAUAUCUCCAGUGACUCCAACAGUCACUUCUUCUAGAUAGCAUCUCAGAUUUGUUUGUGUUACUAUAUAAUAUUCCAUGAGGCCCCUCCAUGAGUGGCUGCAUGAUAAACCAUUCAAAUUAGUACUUGAGAGAUUAGGCCAGAGAAAAUAUGGAUACAAGAGGUAACUGUAAUUGUACUCCUUCUACAAUGGCAAUAAGCCUGUCAAUGAAAAGAUAAUGACAAGUUUGCCAGUAAUAAAUCACCAUGUUAAGUAAUCUUGACUACUGAUUCUCCAUUAGUAUCCAAAUUUCUACCCUAAUGCUCUAUAAGAAAAUGGCCCAGCUAAAACUGAUAAUAAGUUCCAGGACAAUGAGUCCCUGCUACACACAUGAAGCUGCUACAAUUUGUUACUCCCUCCGUUCCUAAAUAUAAGUCUUUUUAGACAUUCCACUAGGGGACUACAUACGAAGCAAAAUGAUUGAAUCUACACUCUAAAAUAUGUCUAUAUACAUCCAUAUGUAGUUCAAUUGUGAAAUCUCUAAAAAGACUUAUAUUNNNNNNNNNNNNNNNNNNNNNNNNNNNNNNNNNNNNNNNNNNNNNNNNNNNNNNNNNNNNNNNNNNNNNNNNNNNNNNNNNNNNNNNNNNNNNNNNNNNNNNNNNNNNNNNNNNNNNNNNNNNNNNNNNNNNNNNNNNNNNNNNNNNNNNNNNNNNNNNNNNNNNNNNNNNNNNNNNNNNNNNNNNNNNNNNNNNNNNNNNNNNNNNNNNNNNNNNNNNNNNNNNNNNNNNNCUUAUAUUUAGGAACGGAGGGGGUACUUGUGAAGAGAUUGUACAUUUAUUCUAGCCCUAGACUUCUUGUAGACGGAUCAAAAUGCAUUACCUCCACCCGAAGACAUACAUGUCAGUAAAACACUGAAUGUAGUCCACUAAUCUAUUCUCAUAAUUGAUAUCCCAAUUCCAACACAGUGCAGGAAAAGAAUAGAAGCAAACAAGGACUCACCUGAGAACCGGAUAUAGUAUUUGAUAACGUGUUGCAUGUAUUUGAUGUUCUGUUAGCUUCAUCAAAAGCUUGGGAAGAAUUACUAUUCCGCACUGCGAUAGUGAAAUGCUCUUCAUCAAAUUGUGAACUCGUAGAAGAGCAAAGCAUGUCUCCAUUGUCAAUACCGUCAUGUGGACCUGAUCUUCUCACUUUCUUCUUUUCCCUUGAUAUCAUUUGGUCCCUAACCCUCUUAGCGGCAUCUUCCGGAAUUUUACAGCAUUGAGGACGAUUUUGCCAGCCAACAAGAUGCCACUCUAAUCUAGUUACACCAUGAUAACCCUCUAAGCUGCACCACUUGCACUUCCAAUGUCCUUUUUCUCUGUCAUAAACCAGUGAAUGUUCCCAUGCAUUGUCCCUUAACCUUGUCGGGUAACUGGAACGCACCUAUUCACACGGGGCAUCUCUUAAAUACAAAAUAAAUCAUGACAUGCAUGUUCAUAGUGAAAUCAUGCCUUGCCUAACAACAUAUGAUAUGAGAACUGCAAACAGAACACACCACUCAUAUAGUUCUACGAUGAAUGAGCUGUGCAAAAACUGACAAUUCAACAGUACAAUAAGAUAGCACACCAGCGAAGAAUAUAAAUGAAACUGAGGAAGUUGGACACGGAGCACUUAAAAUAAACUAGGUUUGACUUUGGAGCAGUUUCUAGUAAAGUUAAAUUUGCAAGGAAUCAAGAAACAAGGACGCUUCUUUGGGGAACAGGAGUAUGUUAAAACGGAUGAACAACUGAGCAUACUGCCCAAAAGGAAAAAGGAUCGGAGUUUAAACUGCAACUGAUUACUUGAAUCUUAUAUUUUCCAGCUCUGCGAGAAUAUAUUCAAUCCAUAAGAGGAUGUGCAAGCACCAAAAGCAAAUAUAAAAUUUCCAACAGUAUGCUCACUGAGACAGAAAGGUGUGUUCCCAAUUUGAGUUGUGACAUAAGUACAUGACAACAGCAAUUAGCAUCUUGGGUCUUAAUUCAUAUUGAAGUUUACACUUUUCCCUAAUGUCAUGAUAGAUGUUUAGCAAAUGGUAAGGUUGGUGAAGUCUGUUCAGUACAACUGUGUCUAUUCUGGAGAGAAGACCAGCAACCUGAGGGGGCGUCAUUAACUGUUAAAGGAUGAGAUGUUCAACAGUCAACACUGCAGGUUAUUUCUUAACAAAAGCGCGCCCCGCUCGCCUAGCCACCGCGCCGCGCCGCCCGGACUGCCCCGCCGGCAGCACCCUCCCCGCGCUCCUCCCCGCCCCUCGCGCCAUGGCUCUGGUGCCGGCUGACCCUGUCGACCGCCGGACGUCCCUCUCCGGCGAGCGCGUCUCCUAUGGGGACUGCUGCUCUGGCUCGUCGGCGCGCUCGUACAGCGACGUCGCCCGCACCCCGCCGGCCAUCCCCGCGCCGUCGGCCGCCGCCGCUCCUGGCUGCGUCGCUCCCGCGGCCCGUCCUCCCGCCAAAGACCGCCUUGGCCCCCGCUCGGAGGUCCACCGUGUCUCGGGCGGGCCGGUGCUUGACGCCGAUGGUUUCCAGCAGGCUCGCCGCCGGGAACAUCGCCGUCGCCCGCGCCGGGAGGCCCCUGCUAGGCCCUCGACCUCGCGCCGCCGCAGCCCUUCCCCCGAGGAGCUCGCGGGCCUCUGCUUCAGGUGCCUCGAUCAUCGCCACUGCGUCCGGGAUUGCCCAAACGACAUUCGCUGCCGCCGCUGCCUCGCCUCUGGUCACUCCUCCCGCGACUGUGAUGGCAGGCGGCCCGCGGCCGCGACCCAGGGAUCCCCGCGCAACGCCCCGGUCCAGCAGACCCGGCUUCCUCGCGCUGCCCCUCUCCCAGCAGCACGCCCUGCUCCCGUCCUGCUGGCUCCAGCCCCUUCCCCACCUCCGGUCUUGCCGGCCGCGGACGCGGCCCCCCCGCGUGUUCAUGGCGCAGACCGAGGAGAUGGACGAGGCCGAGCUGGUGCUCGCCCGCGCGAUGGUGGCUUCGGUCACGGGCACCCGCCCCUCCGUGUCCAUUGACGAGGUCGCCGCGCUGCUCCUCGGCUCCCUCGAGCUCGAGGAAGGAGACUUCACGGUUCACCAGCACCAUCCCGAAGAUUUUCUGAUCAUCUUCUCCUCCCUGGCUAUCAUGCGGCGGCUCCGCGGCGAGCACUUCAUCAGCUCCGCCCGCUUCUCGCUGUCACUCCGGCCCUGGUGCAAGCUCGCCCACGCCGGUGCCGGCGAGCUCGAGUACCGCGUCGAGCUGGAGCUCCGCGGCAUCCCCGCUCACGCCUGGUUGCUCUCCACUGCCGAACACCUGCUGGGAGAUUGCUGCUGGAUCGAGCGACUGCAUCCUCGCACUCGUUCCCGCGAUGACAUGGCGGUCUUCCGCGUCUCAGGGCGCGCGCACGACCCGACUGCCAUCCGGUGCGCCGCCGUCCUGGAAAUCGUCGAGCAGUUGCCCGGCCGCGUGCCCUCGGAGGCGUCGGCCGUCAGGACGCUCACGUUCCCGGUGGCCAUCGCCCUCACCAAGGCCGAGAUGAUCAGAGUCGCUCCAGCCGCUGCCCACUCCUCCGGCAAUGGCGGCGAGGCCGACGACGCUACUGGCAGGCAUGGCCCUGGUCCGAGCAAGGGGCAUGGCCCCGGCACUGGACGCGCGCGCCGGCGCGGCUGCAAACGUCGACGUACGGACGGGGCGCAGGCCGGCCGGGCGGAUGACAUGGCAGUGGACGCUCUGGUGCUGCAUGCCCACGGCGGCUCCGGCCGCUCCGGCGGUGUCUGUACGGUCGCGCCCUGGCCGUCCUCGGCCGCACCGCGACAGGGGCGCCGCCCCACGCGCCAGGGGAUGCUAGCCUGGCCCGGUCAGCAGGGGCCUGCACGCCCGCGUCACGGCGCCAGGAAAGGAAGGCGCCAGGGGCCCGCGGUGACGCCCAAAGCCGCUUUGCCGGUGGCCCCAUCGCUAGCUGCCAAUCGCCCCCCCACUGAUGACGGCGCGACGGCUGGCAGCGGGACAGGUGGCAUGCCUCCAUUCGCUGGACGAGACCGGAGGGGGCUGCAGUUUCAAACUCGCCCUUGACCGAGGAUGCUUCGUCCGGGCCCGCCACUACUGCGCCCGAUCCCACACCCCGUCGGGAUCGUGGCCAGCCACGACCGGCUCCUGCAAAGCAACAAGAUGGGACGAUCCCCCUGGUCCCUCCUGCAGCCCUGUCUGGACCGAAGGGGGCGAGGAUCUCCUUUGCCCCCCCCCCCCCCCCCNNNNNNNNNNNNNNNNNNNNNNNNNNNNNNNNNNNNNNNNNNNNNNNNNNNNNNNNNNNNNNNNNNNNNNNNNNNNNNNNNNNNNNNNNNNNNNNNNNNNNNNNNNNNNNNNNNNNNNNNNNNNNNNNNNNNNNNNNNNNNNNNNNNNNNNNNNNNNNNNNNNNNNNNNNNNNNNNNNNNNNNNNNNNNNNNNNNNNNNNNNNNNNNNNNNNNNNNNNNNNNNNNNNNNNNNNNNNNNNUUUGCCCCCCCCCCCCCGCACCGCCGCAGCCUCUCCCUGCAAAGCCGCAGCAGACCCACGCGCGCACCCACGACGAGGGGGCGGGACGCGAUCUGCACGCUCCCGCCAAUUCGGCCACGCCCGCCCCGACCCCACCGGCCCCAGCUGUCACCCCGGGACCCGCGGAGUUUGGUGCUGCUGAUCCUGCCCCUGCUCCCGCGGAAGCUGACCUGGCCGGGCCCGCUGCUGCUGCGAAUGGGCCCAGGACCCGGAAUAUCUUUGCCCCGAGGGCCGCGCCUGUCGAGGCACCCGUGCUAGCUGCCAUGCCUGCCGGGGCAAACGGGCCUGCGACGCCCAUGGAGCCUCCGACCCAGCCGUGCGUGGAACCGGGCUCAUCCCCCUGCCCAGGGCGCCUCUCGAUCCUGCAGAGACCCUUGCUCAGGCAGGACUCCUCACCCUGCGCUGCUAGCACUAGCACCCGUGCUCUGGUCCCAGGUCGCUUUGCCUCGCCGCCGAUCACCCUGCAGCGACGGCGCAACUGCCACGUCUCCAGCCAGCCCUGGACGCUGGGUGCCUUCCUCUCUGCGGCCACCAAACAGCUUGAUGCCGUUCUGCCCUCUCCCGGGAAGCGGCAGCGCCCCGCCCUCAACUUCAGUCCGAGGAGGGGAUGUUCCGCAGCCGCCGACACCAAAGCCACGGCUCCUUGCGCAUCAGAUCGGCGCGCGGUGGUGCAGAUUCUGCGCACUCUCGGCAUUGUGGGGGUGAACCAGCAGAUUACUGCCACCGAGAUGAAGGCCUAUGACGAUAUGUUCGCCAUGCCGCUGGGGCUUCCAGUGCUGCAGGCCAUGGCCGCCCUGGUCGACCGAGCUAUCCCCGCUGACAUGGCUCCGCCAGCGGGUGAUGUCAUGGUCCGUGCGCGCUAGGCUGGCGGCGACUGUUGUCGAUCUCUCUCCCAUGUAUCGAGGUCCUCAGAUAGUGGUCUGGAAUGUUAGGGGAUUAAACUCACGCGCUAGGCGAUGCGUGAUCCGCUCUCUGCUUUGUACUACUCGGGCAUCCAUUGUAUGUCUUCAGGAAACGAAAAUGGAGUUGAUUUGCUCGUCGACUGUGUUGGACACCCUCAGGUCUGAGUUCGAUGGCUCUACCUAUCUCCCGGCCGACGGCAGCCGCGGCGGCAUUCUCGUCGCUUGGAAAACUAGGGUUGUCACCAUUUCCGACCCCCUAUUUACCCAAAACGCGAUCACGGUCAGCGUGCGCGCGCCUGAAGGAGCCCCGUGGUGGCUUACCACGGUGUAUGGCCCCCAAGGCGACCCCGAGAAGCUGCUGUUCCUGCAAGAGUUGCGGGACAUUCGCGCUGCAUGCCAGGGCCCAUGGAUGCUAUGUGGCGAUUUCAACCUCAUCUACCGGAAUGCUGACAAGAGUUCGGGCAACCUGAAUCGCCGCAUGACGGGCAGAUUCCGGCGUGCCAUCAACGACCUUGCCUUGAAGGAAGUCUACCUCAACGGGCGCCGCUUUACUUGGUCCAACGAGCAAUCGCCGCCGACGCUCGCGCACCUUGACCGGGUACUAUGCACCUCGGAGUGGGAGGACUACCAUGGGGAGUGCCACCUCCGUUGCCUUGCAUCCGUCGUGUCCGAUCACUACCCGUUGCUCUUGGACUGCUCUCCUAUGCCCGUGGCCCAUAGACGCUUCCGCUUCGAGGAAUUCUGGCUCCGCCUCGACGGAUUCCACGACACCGUCGCCACAGCCUGGAACUCGGUGCUUGACCCCGACCCCUUCCAGCGGCUGGUCCGACGCCUGCAGGCCACUGCCCGCGCCCUUACGAGCUGGAGUGCCCGCUCCACGGGCAGCAUCCGGGACAAGCUGGCGAUCUCCCGCGAGCUGAUUGCCCGCUUUGACCUCGCGAUGGACACUCGCCCGCUCACCCUACCAGAGGAUUGGUUGCGCAGGCAGCUCAAGCUGUCAUACCUUGGGCUCGCCUCCCUGGAGCGCACUAUCGUGCGGCAGCGCGCCCGUAUCACCUUCCUCGCGGAGGGAGAUGCGAACACGAGCUUCUUCCACCGGCAGUGCACUUACCGCCGCCAGAAGAAUCGCGUGCAUAGCCUCCUAGUUGAUGGGCAGGUACUGUCUGAUCACGAGGAGAUGGCCCAGGCUGCAUUCGAGCACUUUGACGGGCUCUUGGGCACUGCGGUGGACCGGGAGCACACGCUUGACCUGGAGCAGCUCAUCACGCCCGGCCAUCUGCACAGCCUGGACGAGCCAUUCACUUCCGAGGAGAUCUGGGUUGUGGUGAGCCGCAUGCCGCCGCACAAGGCACCGGGGCCGGACGGGUUCACCGCCGAAUUCCUGCGCGCCUGCUGGUGCAUCAUCAGGCAAGACAUCCUGGACGUCUUCGAGCAGCUGUACGCCGCUACGAGGGAGAGGGUUUGGUAAGCUCAACCAAGCCCUGCUCACCCUGCUGCCCAAGCGCGCGGAUGCCCACAAGCUGGGCGACUAUCGGCCCAUUUGCCUGAUUCACAUCGUCGCCAAGAUAUUCGCGAAGGUUCUGUCGUUGCGCAUCGCCCCCAAGCUUGAUAGCCUGGUGAGCCACAACCAGAACGCCUUCAUCGUCGGACGCACGCUCCACGACAACUUCAUGCUCGUCAGGCAGUCUCUGCGGAUGCUCCAGCACCUGGGCGCGCCGUGCAUCAUGCUCAAGCUCGACCUCACGCGGGCUUUCGACUCCAUAUCCUGGUCCUGCGCCAAUAUGGUUUCGGAGACAGGAUCAGGGAAUGGCUGUCCAUCCUGCUCUCUUCGGCCAGCACGCGAGUUAUGCUCAAUGGAGUACCCGGCCCCCCGAUCUGGCACAGGCGCGGGCUGCGCCAGGGUGACUCCACAUCGCCGCUGCUCUUUGUCCUGGCGGUCGAUGCGCUGGCCCGCCUCAUGCAUAGGGCGCUCCAGACCGGCAUCCUCCGGCGCUUGCACCCCCGACGCAGCAUUCCGGCAAUUUCACUAUAUGCCGACGACGUGAUGAUGCUUUGCCACGCUGAGAUGGAGGAGGUUAUUGCUGUGAAGAGCAUCUUGGGCAUCUUUGAGACCGCAUCGGGCCUGCGGGUGAACUACGGCAAGAGCUCUACCACGACCCUGCAUGGGGGUGAGGAUGGCGACGCCCUGCUGGAGGCGCUGGGCUGCCAGCCCGCGGGGCUGCCCAUCACGUACUUGGGCAUCCCGCUCUCCACUCGCCGGCCCUCAGCGGCACAGAUGCAGCCACUGGUAGACGCCGUCGCAGGCCGCCUUCCGUCCUGGAAGGCAUGGCUCAUGNNNNNNNNNNNNNNNNNNNNNNNNNNNNNNNNNNNNNNNNNNNNNNNNNNNNNNNNNNNNNNNNNNNNNNNNNNNNNNNNNNNNNNNNNNNNNNNNNNNNNNNNNNNNNNNNNNNNNNNNNNNNNNNNNNNNNNNNNNNNNNNNNNNNNNNNNNNNNNNNNNNNNNNNNNNNNNNNNNNNNNNNNNNNNNNNNNNNNNNNNNNNNNNNNNNNNNNNNNNNNNNNNNNNNNNNNNNGGCAUGGCUCAUGAACAAGGCAGGACGGCUAGCAUUGGUUAAAUCUGUCCUGGCUGCAAUGGGAGGCUGCAAUGGGAGGGCACUGUCACGUUAACUGGCGCACUGUCUGCCGGCCACUCGCCUACGGCGGGCUGGGCAUUCGAGACCUGGAGCGCGCGGGGCUAGCGCUCAGGCUCCGCUGGCUCUGGCUAUCGAGGACGGAUGCCAACCGUGCAUGGCAAGGCCUUGACCUGCAGUUCUCCCCUGAGGAGCGCGGCCUAUUCCAUGCAUCCACCUUCAUGCUAGUAGGUGAUGGCCUCACCGCUCUGUUCUGGGAGGACCGAUGGCUGCAUGGGCAGUCAAUUCUCGAGCUUGCACCACUCCUAUACCUAUGCAUCCCCAAGAACAGAAGAAGAGCGAGGACGGUGGCGGAAGGCAUCGCCGGCAAUGCCUGGGCCCGUGACAUUAGAGGUGUGGUGGGCCUGCAGGAGAUAGGCCAAUACUUGAGGACUUGGCAGCUCGUCGCUAGCAUCAAUCUGUCCUCGGAGCCGGACAAGCUCAUCUGGAAGUGGACGGCCAACGGCAUCUACUUGGCGAGGUCUUGCUACCGGGCAACCUUCCAUGGAUCAUUGACAUGCCACUCUUGGCAGCUCAUUUGGAAAGGUUGGGCUCCCCCGAAAGUCAAGUUCUUCCACUGGCUUGCGGAUCUGGACCGCGGCAAGGCUCGCGCGCCGAGGGCUCCCUCACCACACUCGCUGCCUCCCAUGCGACCAAGAGCCUGAGACUAUCCAACACCUGCUGAUCUCCUGCUCCUUUGCGCGGCAGGCAUGGCAUGAGACGCUGUCCUGGCUGCACCUCCCGGUUCCUCUGCCGAUGCAUGACGCUUCCAUCCAGGACUGGUGGAGUAGGGCGAGAGACGCCACCCCCCCCCCNNNNNNNNNNNNNNNNNNNNNNNNNNNNNNNNNNNNNNNNNNNNNNNNNNNNNNNNNNNNNNNNNNNNNNNNNNNNNNNNNNNNNNNNNNNNNNNNNNNNNNNNNNNNNNNNNNNNNNNNNNNNNNNNNNNNNNNNNNNNNNNNNNNNNNNNNNNNNNNNNNNNNNNNNNNNNNNNNNNNNNNNNNNNNNNNNNNNNNNNNNNNNNNNNNNNNNNNNNNNNNNNNNNNNNNNNNNNNNNNCCCCCCCCCCAACGCUCCGCAAGACACUGCGAUCUGUCGCGCUGCUGGUCCCCUGGAUGAUAUGGAAGCAUAGGAACGCGUGUGUGUUCGAUCACAUCCCUCCGUCGCUAAACGAGCUCUUAGAUAGGAUACAAGAUGAGGCUAGGUGCUGGGCUCGGGCUGGGGACAAAGGGCUUAGGGUAGCCUUGCCCCCAACCUGGGAUGUCCACUAGACCUACAUGUAACCGUGUUGUAACCACCUCUUCGGAGGCUGUAAACUACCCCCCUUUUCAAUGCAAAGAAACGCAAGGCUUUUGCGUCUUCUCGAAAAAAAAACUCUUAACAAAAUAUCAGAGCAAGAUCUUUUCAGUUUUAAGGUUCAACAAAAAAAAGUGUGGCAUAAAAAGAGAUUAAGAUUACAUGGUUCCUGCUAAGAGAAGCCAAUAAAUAUGCAUUUUCCAAAAAAAACGAGAAAAUGCAAGAGAUUUUUGCGUUUCAUUGCAUUGAAAAGAUAGAGUUUGGUUACAACCCUCCUAGGAGAGAGAGUUAGGGCAGGGACAUGAAUAUAAAUUUAAUGUACAUACUUCUCUAAACAUUUGACAGGGCAAAUCUUCUCUGAUGCCGCUCCCUCCCUCCCGCUCCACCUGCCUGACCAAGCCCCCCACCAGCCUCGCCUCCGUUGAAUCCCCGACGGCAGCCCACUUUCCCAGCCCCGCCAAACCCCCGACGGUGACCCACCUCCUAAGCCCCCAGCCCUCCCUGGCCAUGGCGUCUGCAAACGCUGACCCUGUCGAGCCCCGAGCGACCCUUUCCGGCGACCGCUGGUCGGAUUCGGGAAGUGAGUCCUCGGCGCACUCGUACAGGGACGUCGCGCGCACCCUCCCCGCCCCCCUCACCCCUCUGCGGCACGCGGGCCGCCGACCCCCGCCGGCCACACCUAUCAACCCACCUCAGCCCUCGUUCCAAAGUGCAUCGGGUCGCCGGCGGAGUCCAGGUCGAUGCUGAGGGGUACCAGCAACCUCGCCGCAGAAACCGCUAUCGCCGCCCGCGCCAAGAGGCCACACCCAGCCUGCCACCGCAGCGGCGCCGCAGCCCCUCCCCGGAGGAACUCGAUGGACUCUGCUUCCGCUGCCUCGAUCCUAGUCAUCGGGUGAGGGAUUGCACGAAUGACAUCAGGUGCAGGCAGUGCCUCAUCAACGGCCACGACUCGCCCUCUUGCACCACCGGUCGCGCCGGACCUGCCAGUCCGGAGCACGCUGCGCCUGCUGCCCGGGAGCGCGUCGGACCGGCAAGUGCAAGAGCCGGUCAGAGUGAUCAUGGCGCACUCUGUCGAGAUGGAGGAGGCCGAGCAGGUCCUGAGCCGUGCGAUGGUCGCUUCCAUCACCGGCAACAGGCCGCGCGUGUCCUGCGCCGAGGUCUCCGACGUGCUCCUCAACACCUUCGACCUUGUUGAUGGCGACUUCACCGUGCAUGCCCAUCACCCCCAGGAUUUCCUGAUCUUGUUCAGUACUCAUACCACCAGACAUCGGCUGGACGGAGACCACUUCAUCAACCUGCCACGCUUCUCCCUCUCCAUCCGGCCCUGGAGCAAGCUUGCCCAUGCCGGCUCUGGUGUGUUCGAGUUCAGUGUUGAGCUUGAGCUCCGUGGCAUCCCUGCCCAGGCCUGGCAUCUAUCCAUUGCCGAGCACAUCCUUGGAGAGUCAUGCUGGAUCGAGCGCCUCCACACCAACACGCGUUCCCGGGCCGACAUGGCCACAUUUCGGCUAGCAGGAAGCACACACUGCCCGGACAACAUCCGGAGAGCCGCAGUUCUGGAGAUCGUCGAGCAAACCCCCGCUCGCUUGGGCUCCGACGCGCUGACCAUCAGGACGCUCACCUACCCGAUUUCCAUUGCAGUGGCGCGCGUCGCGACGAGCAGGACACCACAGCUCGGCAGCCAGCCGGACGCGGGGAAUGGAGGAGAUGGCACGCAUGAGGGGAAUGGCCAGAACCGCGCCCCGGGCCAAGAGCGGACGCGCCGCCACGGCUGCAAGCGCCGCCGUACGGACACGAAACCUCAUGGCCGCGCUGACGGCAUGGCCAUGGACGCACCCUUGUGGCGUGCUGGGAACCGAGCCACCCGUUCUGAUGGUGUUGCCGUCGCCAACUCAUGGCCGGCGCCCGCCAGCGUGGUUGCCCCACCGCCCGUACCACAAAAGCGAUGCGGCAUGGCCCCAUGGCCGGGUCAGCACGGGCCCACGGGAGCUCGUCGCAUUGCUAGAAAAGGGGCGGAGGAAAGCAAAAGCGGACCGCAGCAAUGGACCAGACCACCAAAGCUGCACAAGUCGCAGAGACUCCCAGGAACGUGACGAAGGAGACUGCCAGAGACCCAUUUUUGACCAAAGGGGUGUGGGAGGCCACUGCAGGCUCGAGAUCAGGCUCGGGGCCAGCUUGCGACUCGCCACUGGUUGCAAACCGGACCGAGAGAUGCACGGCCGAGGCGGAUGACGCGAGCCCCACGCCUGGCUCGUCCCAUCCGAUGGACUGUCGAGAGCUGGCUGUACUGAGCUUGGUGCCAGACUCGCAGCCAGCCGGUCCACUUAUCCUGUUGGGGAAAAGUGAUGUCUACGCCACGCCAGCAACUGCAACUGGGCCAUGCGAAUCAGACGAGCCACCAGGGCCACUCGAACCCGCUGAAGUGCGGAGGGAGAGGCACCUAGCCCCUGUGGCCAACCCCACUGCCUCUGAGGCCAAUCCCGCUGCAUGCGAGACGGAAUCCACUCUGGCCCCUUCUGUAGAUGAACCCCACACCCCAGUCAGAAUCCUGCAGCGUUCCGAGACCCAGCCCACACCACACCAGCUCGCGACGAAUGGGCAAACACCAACUGCGUGCGACAGGGCCCGUGCCAAUCUACAACCGGGAGGUUCGCCUCACCGCCGAUCAUGCUCCGCCAAAGCCGUGGACAUGCUGCCACUUCACGCAGCUGGACUCUGGGCGAGUUCCUCGCAGCCGCCACGAAGCACAUCAGCGCAGCCCUGCCUACCCCAGGGAGAAAACCACGGCGGCCCCUUAACUUCACACCGCGACACGGCCGUUCGGCCACAACGGCUGCUCCCCAUCCGGGGGCGCCACCCACCGCCGAGAGAAGGGCGCAGGUUCAACUUCUGCGUACUCUGGGGAUUGUUGGGACGAACCAGAGGAUCACUUCCAUCGAGAUGAAGGCAUACGACAACAUAUUUGUUGCGCCGUCCCGCUCAUGGUGAUCAAGGCCAUCGCUGCAUUGGUGGACUGGGAGAUCCCUGCAUGUUUGGCGAUGACAGCGCCGGCCCCUGCAAGUACCGAUGAUGCACUCGUGCCAUAGGCCGACCAUGCGUUAGCCCGUCGAUCAUGUGUUCAUGGAUCACAACCCUACGAUCGUUGUUUGGAACGUGCAUGGCCUAAAUGCACGCGCUCGUCGCACGGCCAUCCGCUUGCUGAUUGUUACAACUUCUGCCUCUAUCAUUUGCUUUCAAGAAACCAAGAUGGAGUUGAUUUGUUCGUCGGUUGUGCUCGAAACCCUCCGCUUGGAGUUUGAUGACUACACAUACCUUCCGGCCCAAGGCACGCGGGGCGGCAUUCUGCUUGCUUGGAAGAGCAAGGUCGUGACUAUCACGGACCCACUGUUCACCACGAACACCCUUUCCUCCAAGGUGACCACGGGUACGGGCACGCCCUCUUGAUUGACAAUUGUCUACGGCCCACAGGAUGAUGAUGACAAACUUGCAUUCAUGCAAGAGCUAAGAGACGUGCGUGCAGACUGCCCUGGGCCGUGGAUGGUGUGCGGCGACUUCAACCUAAUCCUCCGCGACGAAGACAAGAGCAGGGGCAGCCUAAACCGACGCAUGAUGGGUAGAUUCCGUCGCCUUGUCAACGACCUUGCGUUGAAGGAAAUAUACCUAAACGGACAGCGCUACACGUGGUCGAACGAGCAGUCUCCACCCACGCUAGUGUACUUGGACAGAGUGCUCUGCACUUCAGACUGGGAGGACGCGGAUGCCGACUGCCAUCUCCGUUGCAUUGCCUCCAUCGUGUCGGACCACAGCCCAUUGUUGCUAGACUGCUCACCCACAUCCCCGGCACGACGACCAUUCCACUACGAAGACUACUGGCUACGCUUAGCCGGGUUCCGCGAAACGGUGUGGCUUGGGGCUCAAUGAACGUCCCGGAUCCCUUCCGCCGCCUUAUGCUGCGCCUCCAGGAUACAGCGUGCAAACUCACCAGCUGGAGCGCCAAAUCCACCGGCUGCAUCCGGACAAGAUGGCGAUCUCCCGCGAGCUGAUCUCGCGUUUCGAGAUGACCCAAGAAGAACACGCGCUUUCGCCCCAAGAGGACUGGCUACGGAAGCAACUCAAGAUAUCUUACCUUGGGCUGGCCUCACUCGAGCGCACCAUCGCUUGGCAACGCUCCCGCAUCACCACGCUCAAGGAUGGCGACGCCAACACGACCUUUUUUCAUAGGCAAUGCUCCUACCGACGCCGGAAAAACUAGGUGCACGCCCUCUCCGUCGACGGCCAUACCAUCACAGAUCAGGAAGAGAUGGCGCAAGCAGCGUUCGCGCACUUCGACCAACUCUUCGGUCGUCCUGCUGACCGCGAAUGCUCGCUCAACCUGGACAAUCUCAUCAAGCCAUGCGACUUAGCAAGUCUAGAUGCACCAUUCAGCCAUGAGGAGAUAUGGAAUGCCGUCAAACUGCUUGUUAGAAUAAUCCGAGGCUCUCUGUCGAUCUACCGAGGACCAAGCAAUCACACAAGCACGACACCGAGAUUUGUUAACGAGGUUCACCGAUAUGGCUACAUCCCCGGGGCAUGACUACGGGCGCUUCUCCCCGUGACACUUUCACAAUACCGUACCCUGGCAACCCUGGGCGCCGGCACACGCCGCCGGCUCCCCCUGCGCGCCUGUGCUAUUAUGUUGGCAUAUGUUACAUCAUGUGGCUCUACCCUCGCUAUAUAUGAGAGGCUAGGGGUAAAGGACACGACUCCUACCUUGUCUACACACCAUAUGACUUCAAGUCCAAUUGUAACCUACCUUGUACAAUAAUAUUCGACACAACUCUAACACUACUCCCGGCGCGGAAAGUGCCUGGGCCAGACGGGUUCACGGCCGAAUUCCAGAGAGCUUGUUGGAGUAUUAUUCGACAAGACAUCCUGGACAUCUUCCAGCAAGUGUAUGAGCUACGCGGUCGUGGCUUCUGCAAGCUUAACCAGGCGCUACUGAUCCUGCUGCCCAAACGCGCCGACGCGAGCGAACUUCGAGACUACCGGCCGAUCUGCUUGAUACACCUCAUGGCAAAAAUCUUCACAAAGGUGCUAUUGCUCCGGCUCGCUCCCAGACUUGGUGGCCUGGUCAGCCGCAACCAGAAUGCGUUCAUCACCAACCAGAGUCUCCAUGACAACUUCGUCCUGGUUAGGCAAUCGCUCAAGAUGCUACACCACCUAAAGGCUCCGCGGAUCAUGUUGAAACUGGACCUCACGCGGGCCUUCGAUUCCAUAUCAUGGCCUUUCCUCUUUGAGGUUCUCGCCCGAUAUGGUUUUGGAACCAGAUUUCGGGAGUGGUUGGCGAUCUUACUUGCGACGUCCAGCACCCGUGUCAUGCUCAACGGCAAGCCCGGGCCACCCAUCUGGUUUCGCUGUGGCCUGCGCCAGGGAGACCCGACGUCCCCACAGCUCUUCGUGCUCGCCGUGGACACCCUCAGCCGCCUCAUUCGACGCGACCAUGAGUGCAACAUAUUUCGCCCGCUUCACCACAGACGCGACAUCCCGGCGAUCUCCCUCUAUGCCGACGACGUCAUGGUGUUCUGCCACGCCACGCAUGACGACGUGGCUGCCAUCAAGGGGAUCCUCACCUUGUUUGGUAGAGCAGCCGGGCUCAGAGUCAACUACGCCAAGAGCUCAACCACCAUCAUCCAUGGCAACCCCGACACUGCAGCGAUGAUCACUCAACUGGGAUGGCCAGUGGUCGAAUUGCCUAUCACUUACCUGGGCAUCCCGCUGACGCUCCGCCACCCCACUGCUGCCCAGCUCCAACCCCUCGUCGAUUCAGUGGCGGCCAGGCUCCCGACAUAGAAGGCAUGGCUCAUGAACAAAGCUGGGCGACUAGCGCUAGUAAAGUAUGUUCUGAGCUCAAUACCGAUCCACCAGCUGCUCGCUUUUGCCCCUCCAAAGAAGACCAUAAAACAGCUCGAGAAACUACAACGUGGAUUUCUUUGGGCCGGCCACGCCACUGCCUACGGAGAGCACUGUCAUGUCAACUGGCGCCACACCUGUUGGCUUGUUGAAUAUGGUGGCCUUGGGAUCCGCGAUCUGGAGCGCACAGGUCCGGCGCUUCGGCUGCGAUGGAUGUGGUUUGCCCGCACGAACACCGAACGAGCAUGGCAAGGACUAGACCUACAGUUCACGCAGGAGGAGAGUGCGAUGUUUUUUGCAUCCACCAGUAUGGUCCUUCGCGACGGAUCGACGACCCUUUUCUGGGAGGACCUUUGGAUACACGGACAAUCAGUGCAUCCCCAAGCGGCGAUGCAGAACGAGAACGGUGGCAGAGGGCCUCCACGGGAACGCCUGGGCCUACGACAUCCAAGAAACCCUCGGGAUACACGAGAUAGGUCAGUACCUGUUACUCCGGUAGGUUGCCCAACAAUUCGCCCUCUCGACUGAGCCCGACCGGCUGCUUCGGAAAUGGACGGCCAGCGGCAUAUACACGGCGCAGUCUUACUACGUCGCCACAUUCCAGGGAUCCACUCGCUGCCCCUCUUGGAAGCUCAUAUGGAAGGGUUGAGUGCCGCCCCGCGUCCGAUUCUUUCACUGGCUCGCCAACAAAGACCGAUGUUGGACGGCAGCGAGACUUGCCCGUCGCGGCCUGCAGCACCACCCUAAGUGCUUCCUCUGCGACCAAGAGCCAGAGACAAUCCACCACUUGCUUCUAGCGUGCCCAUUGGCCAAGCAAACUUGGCACACCAUUCUGGACUGGACGCACAUACCAGUGCAACCACCAGGUAACGAACCUACCUUGCAUGACUGGUGGCAACAAGAGAAGGAGCAAACCCCGCCCGCACUCCACAAGGCUCUACAAUCCAUCACAAAGCUUGUCCCCUGGAUGAUUUGGAAACAGCGGAACAAUUGUGUCUUCAACAACGCGAGACCCUCGAUAGAUGCAUUAGUUGAUAGGAUCAAAGUAGAAGCCAAAUGUUGGGCACAAGCCGGGGCACAAGGGCUGAGAGUUGUGCUGCCCGCCUCCUGGGACAUCCAUUGGUGACGAACUGGCCUUGUAACCAUCACCUCUUCGGAGGCUUGUAAUCUCCCAUCUUGUCAAUGAAAUGAAACGCAAGCACUCCUUGCGUUUUCUCGAGAAAAAAUUUAAUGUACAUCCCAGGUGGUUGGCAAGAUGAACCUGAGGCCGCGGCCACCAGCGCGUGCCCAUUGUUCGGCUUCGUCCUUGAUCUUAGAGACCAGGACAUGGACGAGGAGCUGGGCACCGUCGAAUAUGCACUCGUUGCGCAUCUUCCAAAUCAUCCACGGCAUGAGGAGGGCGAUGGAGGCAGGACCUUUCCGCAUCGUUGUAGGUGUGCUUUGCUUGGCGCGCAGCCACCAGUCCAUGAGCGUGCCUUCAUCGCUUGGUCCUGCGGUGGUCAUCCUGAGCCAGGCAAGAAUCUCAUGCCAAGUCUGCUUGGCGAAAGGGCAUUCCAGGAGAAGGUGGCGUAUCGUCUCGGGAGCUUGGUCGCAAAGUGGGCAUCGGGCCUGGUGCUGGAGGCCCCGCCUAGCGAGGCGAUCAGCGGUCCAGCACCUAUCCAGGUUAGCUAACCAGUGGGAAAAAAUUGCGCGCGGCGGUGCCCAACGCAUGUCAUAUUUUGAUUGUUUCGUGUAACGAGUCAUGAUUGUAUUAUUAGUAAUUAACAAUAUACUUAAUGGAUUAUAUAAAUAACCACAACUGGCACAAAACUAACAGAGCUAGCAGAAACUAUAAAUCAUAGCCUGAACACUCUUUGACCCAUUCCAGUUUCAACCAAACUGACAUAAGUAGCAUGUCUUAAAUUAAUGAACAGAUUAAUAUAGCCACAGGAAAUAAUAUAAAUGAGAAUACAGUUAUAAAGUUCACCUCGUUCGACAAAUCAUUCAUUGGCAAUUGUGGAGGAUUGCUAAAUGCUGGACCAUUAUUCUGCAGUAUUACACUGGAUUGCGCAAGAAUUUGUGGCUGUGGAGGAGCUUGCUGCCCAGUCUUUUUCAUCCUGGGCCUUCUCUUUAUUAGAAUAUGGUGUUUUGCGUUUGCAGAAACUUCUUUAGGGACAUUCGUGCACUUAGGAUGACGAAAGACACCAGCAAGAUGAUAAUGGAGCCUAGAUAUUUUGCCAUGUCCAUCCAUACCACAGUAUCUACACCUCCAAUGCCUUGCAAUUUCAUCAAUGAUAGCAAUAUGUCUCCGUAAGUUAAACCUGGUCUUCCGAGGAUGUUUCAAUAUCUACAAAUAAGUGUAGAAUCAGAAAAGAAAACAUUAGAAAUUAGCAACACAGAAACAUAUAUUAAAUACCAAUUUAUUUAGUAGAAAUUUGAAAAAAUAAGUAAGUGUUGAAAUACUAGGAAAAAAAGAGUACAAUAUCCCUAAUUUUCCUGUUAGUUUUGUUUAUCAUUCGCCUACCUUUGUUGGAUUUUAAGUUCUGAGAUAACUCUUACAAAACAAAGCAUAUGAUUACACCAUUUUUACAUCUGAGAAGAGUAGGGAAGGACCCCAUAUCAAAGUUUAGUAUAUUAAUCAUAGAUACAGAGAUCUACGUAGAGGACGCCAAAGGCCACAGGUAUCGAAUUACACUAAACACCUAUCAGAAGAAUAGAAAAAGCAAAAAAGUAUGGGAGUGGCUAUUUGUAUACCACCUGAAAACUAAAUUUGCGCAAGUCAAUUUUUUGGGCCAUCGGAUCGAAAUCAGACAUCUCAUCUUCUUUCUUUAACCUCCCGUCUUCUCCUUUCUCUGGCCACCCGAUUUAGCGCCAGCCGGGCGGCCUGCUGCCUCCACCCGCGGCCAGAGGCGCUCCUGUGCACGCCUCGCCCUCCCCCACCGCCGUGCUACCGCUGCCCCAGGCCAUCUGUCUAAACCUCCCCAGCGUUAGAGUUCUCUGGCGAGCCUGCACCUCCCCACCCAAACCAGUCAACCCUCGGACUCAUCACGGCGCUGCCGUACUCAGCCUCGGGGCUGCACAUGUCUUCUCUCCAGAAUCAUCUUACGCGAAUUUACAGUUCAGGUGACUUACAAAUAGGUUGUGCGGACAAAUAUAUGGACAGAUAUCUUAGUAGCUAACAAAAGAUAUGAAGACAAUUGUUGAAACAGAUGACAAGCCAACCACUUGAAACUGCCAGUACUAUCACUCGUUGAGGGAAGCACCCUUUAAUCUAAAAGUUACAAUCUGAAACAGUAGUCCUCGAUCUAAAUUUAUUAGGAGGGACUACCUAAGUUUGAAAUCGAAUAUGCCAAAUCCAGAAGUGACCGAUUCUUCGAUGGAUGAAGUUUCAUAGCUCCAUGGAGCUACGGUAGGAAUGUUACAUCAUAAUUAGUUUGCAUGCAUAGUCUACAAUACACGUAUGAACAGUUAUCCUGGCUACACGUAAACCAAGGGUGUACAAUGUACUGCUGCGUUGUAAAUGGCCAAAAACUCAACUACAUUUGAUUUGAAAAUAAAUGAACUUCAUGCUGGACAUACAACCAUUUUUUAAUGGGUUGUGCAACAAGAUUACUAGACUCGGAAAAAAAAAACAGAGAUACCAAACACCACUGGAUUAGUGUAGUCCCUCCUUCCCAAAAUGUAAGGCAUGCUUGAUUUUGCAUGGCCUUUGGUGCACCACUUAGACAUUAAUAUAUACCAAAGUACAUGGAUUGAACAUGUAUAAAUGGUGUUGUCGUAUUUGUCUUGCGAAAUCAUUUUAUUUCAUGUCUUUAUACUAAUUUUGUUGGCGUACAAUAAGUGAAAAUCAUAGUGAAAGUUGUGCGAUGAAGACCAGAAAAAUUCAAUCGCGCCUUAUUUUGGGAAAGAGGGGCUAUUACUACUUAUUUCUCAGUUUUUGUAACUGUUAGUUUUAGAAUUGAUCUUGAAACACAUCAAAUUUUCAUGUAGCGUAUUGUUUCAUCAUGUGUACAAAAUCAUAUGCGCUCUCUCCUUCAGUAAACAAAUUAUAACCAUAUGCUUGUUGUCUAGCAAUUUUCAAUGUUGCAAAGGUAUGCUAAUUAGUUUCCAGCAGGGGGGCGAAUCGAGGAAGGUCAUGUCCCCUAUCACCAAGGCCACAUACAAUUCAUGAUAAAAUGCCCUCAAAAUUCUGUCAAAAUCCAUAAUACAAUCACAUAAUGUUACAAAAGCCGGGGAGGUUUCAUAUUCCAGUAUGUCACUGAUAUCAAGAACCAAAAUAGAAAAGCAGCGAGUCAUGAAAACUUGAAAGGUACAUUAGAUUUCUACAGUGCUGCUUCUGCUUGUCUUCUUUGGUUUCCAGUAGCAUGAAAGAUUUUGCAUACCAAAUUUUUAGAUUGGCAUUACAUCAUGUGUACAUCAUUAAUUUUGUCAGGUUUACAGAAAAUUCUUUCAUGCCCAAAUUGAAAGGGACAGCGCGAGCUGCCCAGGACACAAAAUUCCUACUCUUCCAACAGUCAAUGUUAAAUUCAGAAUAAGGAAAGUGCUUUCAGUCUUAUAAUAAUUUUUUCUGAAGGCAUAACACAUGAUUCAGAUCUCAGAAAAAAGUUUUUAAUAUUAAUGAAAGACCUUGUAUUAUGACACUACUUUCAACUUCUGCAAGAAAUUCAGAAAAGCCUAUGGAAGUGUUACUCACUAUAAGACAUCUAAGUAGUUUCACCAAAGUUUAACAGUAAUGAGGUCAAAACUAACCAAUAACUCAAUAGCAGUAUAGCACAAACACAACUAACCCCUUACUACAGGACAGAUUGGAUGGUACAUAAUUUGUUUGCAUGGGCUUUUGAAGGAGAACUACCUCUUUAUUUCGUGAAAUAUCAGUGUUUUUGUCCAGAGUCUGAUGCUCAUUGUUUAGUACAUGCUGCUUUCCAGGAUCCACUGGCAACUGCUCCUCUCGCUGAUCAUUGCUUUUCUUUGGCUGUUCAUAAUUCUCAACUGGUUGGUCACUAUGUCUUUUACUGCAUUGGUUACUUCGAGCUGCCAACUUCUCAAAGGAAACAACCAAAAACGGUGGGUAAGUUCAAAUGAAAUACUUCUUGAAAGAAUAAAGAUGGGUCACAAAGAGGAAGAAAAGAUGAUGCAUCUGUGUAAACUUCGUGUGAACUUCAUGUUAAGGUUUAAGAAAACCCCAUGAACAACAAGUAUAUCAUCUACCAAACAGUAGUUCUCGCUGUUCUUUUUUCGAGAAAACGCAAGGAGCGUUUGUGUUUCAUUUCAUUGAAAAGGUGGGAGAUUACAGGCCUCCUAAGAGGUGUUGUUACAAUGCAAAUUCGUCAUCAAUGGACGUCCCAGGAGGCGGGCAGUACAACCCUCAGCCCUUGUGCCCCAGCUUGUGCCCAACAUUUGGCUUCUACUUUGAUCCUGUCAACUAGUGCAUCUAUCGAGGGUCUCGCAUUGUUGAAGACACAAUCAUUCCGCUGUUUCCAAAUCAUCCAAGGGACCAGCAUCGUGAUGGAUUGUAGAGCCUUGUGGAGUGCGGGCGGGGUUUGCGCCUUCGCCAGUUGCCACCAGUCCUGCAUGGUAGGUUCGUUACCUGGUGGUUGCGCUGGUAUGUGCGUCCAUUCCAGGAUGGCAUGCCAAGUUUGCUUAGAGCAUGUCUAGUAGAGCCCUUAAACCCUCAAAAAAACAGAAAUAACCGUUUUUUUACGGGUUGUGUCGGGGAUAUACCCUGCAGUGUAACCCGGCUUGAAGUAUGACCCGCCAAGGACUUGGCGACUCACCGGCGACUGAGCAGUGACCUAGCGGGCGGCUCAUAGAUUACCCCGUAGGCGACUCAGACAAAUGACGAAGGCCCAAGGCCCGACGUACAAUCUGGCAUAAGGCGACUCAUAGAGAGGCCAUGAGGGCCGACUCACACAGAAGGCCCGAGAAGAGGAAAGACUCCCACAAGAAGGAAACAAGACCCAGAUUAGGAUUCAAGAGAGACUAGUCCUAUUCCUACUCCUAGUAGGACUCUACGUGUAAACCUACCCCUUACACCUAUAUAAGGAGGGGUAAGGCACCCCAAGAAGGACAAGAUACACAACUUAGGUCUAGACAAGACAAAUCAUGAGAUAGACAGAUUAGACACCCACGAGAUUAGAGGUGCGAGUCUGCACCCUUGUAAUUGAGAUCAUCAUCUUCACCAAUGAAGCACAAGCAGCACGUAGGCUUUUACCUCCAUCGGAGGGGCCGAACCUGGGUAAACUCGCGUCUCUCGAUUCCGACCAACCCCUCUCAAGCCGCCACAUGGUUGCGAUGUCCUCACACCUAAGUCCUUGCACGAGGACAUCUGCCGUGACAAAACCACGACAGGUUGGGCAAAAAAAACGCGUAGACUAGAACCCCUUAACCCUUAAACCCUCAAAAAAAAUUAUGGAUCGGACCUGCAAACCCUCUCCCAACCUGUAGAAGUGAGGAUUGGGGGGCAAAAUCUACCCCAACCCUCACUUCGAUCCGGCCAUGCGCGGGAGGGAAAUUUCCCGUCCCCAACCUCCUCCCGCGCCUCCCCCGAGCCGCCGCCGCCGUCCCGCCCCCGCGCCGACCCGAGCCGCCUCCGGCCGCAUCUCGGGCCGCCGCCGCCGUCCCGCCCCCGAGCUCCUCCACUGUCGCCGGCCGCAUCUCGGGCCACCACCGCCGUCCCGCCCCGAGCUCCUCCACCGCCGCCCCCGAGCUCCUCCACCGCUGCCCCGAGCUCCUCCACCACCGCCCCCGAGCUCCUCCACCGCCCCGAGCUCGUCCACACUGCCGGCCUCCUCCACUGCGGGCCGUCCAAGGUGAGCUCCCCUGCUCCUCCUCCCUCUGUCUCCACACCGCCGGCCUCCUCCACAACGAGCUCCGGCCGGCCCUGUUUCCUGUAUUUUUGUUACAGAGCAACACUAAAUUUUUUGUUUUGUGUUGUGUAGAUGGAUGCGUUGUCCGAUGAUUCCGGUUGGUCGUCGUGAAAAAAGGGGAUGGCCGGGGAUGUUUGGUAGUCUUGAUUGCAUGCAUUGGACAUGGAAAAAUUGUCCAAAGGCAUGGCAAGGAAUGUAUUGCGGUAAAAGUCGUGAUGCUACCAUUGUGCUUGAGGCCGUGGCAUCGGAGGACACAUGGAUUUGGCAUGCAUUUUUUGGUUUGCCAGGAACACUCAAUGAUAUCAAUGUGCUCAAUAGAUCUCCUUUGUUCAAAAGAUUAGUUUCUGGGGAUGCUCCAACUUGCAACUACAAAAUAAUGGACAAUGAGUACUCAAUGGGAUACUAUCUCACCAUGGAAUUUACCCCGAUUGGGCAACUCUUGUGAAGUCCAUCAAGGAGAAAAAUGGGGUGCCCUUAACCAGAAAAGAGGCUCAUUUCACAAAGGCACAAGAGGCAGCCCGCAAGGAUAUUGAGAGAGCUUUCGGUGUUUUGCAAGCAAGAUUUGCCAUAGUUCGGGGUCCAGCUCGUUUUUGGGACAAAAAAACCUUGGAGAACAUCAUGAAAUGUUGUGUGAUUAUACACAAAAUGAUCAUCGAGGAUGAGAGAGGGUUAAAACUGCCUUGUUUCUAUGACAAUGUUGGUACUCGUGUGGAACCGGAAAGAAACCCUUGUCGCGUACAACCUUUCCUUGAAGCACAUCGUCAGAUUCAGGAUGCAAACACUCAUGGUCAGCUCCGGGAUGAUCUAGUAGAGCACCAGUGGCAGUUGGUUGGGCGACGCCAAGGCCCAUGAUCUACCUUUGGUUACUUUUCUAUGUCCUAUUUGAUUCGAACAAUCAUUAUAAUUUGCUUCAAAACAUUGUUCUAAUAAAUUGAAUGAUUAUUAUGUGUUUGAAAGUACUAUUCGGUGUUAUUGAGAUGAUGAAAAUUGUGAUAUGUCAAAUGACAGUUUUAAGGGUUGGGGUUGGGGCAAAGACUAGAACCCUCAAACCCAACCCUUAUAACGGAAUAUUCCGUUAUAAGUGUCAAAAAUUGCCAAUUCUCAACCCUUAAAACUGGUUUUAGAUUUAAGGGUUUGAGGGCUCUACUAGACAUGCUCUUAGCAAAUGGGCACGCUAGAAGCAAGUGAUGGAUAGUCUCUGGGUUUUGGUCACAGAGGAAGCAUUUCGAGUGGUGCUGCAGGCCACGCCGGGCAAGUCUCGCUACCGUCCAGCAUCGGUCUUUGUUGGCGAGCCGGUGAAAGAAUCUGACGCGGGGCGGCACCCAGCCCUUCCAGAUGAGCUUCCAUGAGGGGCAGCGGGUGGAUCCAUGGAAUGUGGCGGCGUAGCAGGACUGCGCCGUGUAUAUGCCAUUGGCCAUCCAUUUCCAAAGCAGCCAAUCAGGCUCAUUCGAGAGGGCGAAUUGUUGGGCAGCCUGCCAGAGCAUCAGGUACUGACCUAUCUCGUGUAUCCCGAGGGUUCCUUGUAUGUCACGGGCCAAGGUGUUCCCGUGGAGUCCCACUGCCACAGUUCUCGUUCUGCGUUGCCGCUUGCGGAUGCACUGGUAUAGCAGGGGGGCGAGUUCCCGAACUUAUCGUCCGUGUAUCCAGCGGUCUUCCCAGAAAAGGGUUGUCAAUCCAUCCCCAAGGACCAUAGUGGUGGAUGCGAAAAACAUCGCACUCUCCUCUCUAGUGAACUGUAGGUCUAGUCCUUGCCAUGCCCUUUCGGCGUCUGUGCGGGCAAACCACAGCCAUCGGAACCAAAGAGCCAGACCGGUGCGCUCCAGAUCGCGGAUCCCAAGUCCGCCAUAUUCUGUGGGUCGACAGGUGUGGCGCCAGUUGACAUGGCAGUGCCCUCCGUUGGCAUGGCCGGCCCAAAGAAAUCCACGUUCUAGUUUCUCGAGAUAUUUUAUGGUCUUCUUUGGAGGGGCAAAUGCGAGCAGCUGAUGGAUCGGUAUCAAGCUCGGGACAGACUUCACCAGCGCUAGUCACACAGCUUUGUUCAUGAGCCAUGCCUUCCAUGCCGGGAUCCUGGCCGCCACCGAAUGGACGAGGGGUUGCAGCUGGGCCCCAGUGGGGCGACGGAGCAUCAGCGGGAUGCCCAUGUAAGUGAUUGGUAAUUCGACCACCGGCCAUCCACGUUGAGUGAUCAUCUCCGCAGUCUUGGGGUUGCCAUGGAUGAUGGUAGCUGAGCUCUUGGCGUAGUUCACUCUGAGCCCGGUUGCUCUGCCAAAUACGGUGAGGAUCCCCUUGAUGGCAGCCACGUCGUCCUGCGUGGCGUGGCAGAACACCAUGACGUCGUCGGGAUAGAGGGAGAUCGCCGGGAUACCGCGUCCGGGCUGAAGCGGGCGGAGUAUGCUGCAUUCAUGGGCGUGUCGAAUGAGGCAGCUGAGGGUGUCCACAGCGAGCACGAAGAAUUGUGGGGACGUCGGGUCUCCCUGUCGCGGGCCACAUUCUCGUAGUGAGGUGUUGUCCAUUUAUAAGCGUUUUGCUGCCAUGGUUCAUACUCAGUUCUCUUCUCCCAUUCGUGUGUUUCGUGCUGACACCGCUGGCGAGUAUAUCUCUAAGAUGUUGCGUGGUGUUCUUGCUGAGCAAGGGACUCUCUCUCAAUUCUCUUGUCCUGGUGCUCAUGCUCAGAAUGGCGUGGCUGAGCGCAAGCAUCGUCAUCUUCUUGAGACGGCUCAUGCAUUGAUGAUUGCUGCCUCUCUCCUGCCUCAUUUUUGGGCUGAGGCCGUCUCCACCUCCACCUAUCUCAUCAAUUUCAGCCUUCCGCUGCUCUACAGGGUGGUGUUCCUUUCGAGCGUCUUUUUGAUCGUUCUCCUGAUUAUUCGAUGCUUCGCUUGUUUGGUUGUGUUUGCUAUGUUCUUCUUGCCCCCCGCGAACGCACCAAACUGACCGCUCAGUCUGUUGAGUGUGUCUUCUUAGGCUAUAGUAAUGAGCAUAAGGGCUAUCGUUGUUGGGAUCCUAUCGGUCGUCGGAUGCGUAUCUCUCGGGAUGUGACUUUCGAUGAGUCUCGUCCCUUCUACCCACGCCCAUCUUCCUCGACCUUUUCAGUGGACGAUGUCUCUUUUCUCACUUUUCCUGAUACACCUAUCACACCUGUCGAGCCUUUGCCUAUUCGUUCCGCUCCCUCUGCUUCUCCACCUCCAGUCGAUUUGUCGCCACCAUCUUCCACGGUCUCCUCGUCUAGCAUGUCACCGGAGUCUACACCUUCCUCUCCGGUGACUUCUUCGUCGUCACUCCCCGAUUCUACCUUGGCGAUUCCUCCUUCCAUUGUUCCAUCUUUUCCUCAGUGUUACACUCGUCGUUCACGUUAUGUGGAUGCCUCUGUGGAUGUGUCGUCAUCCUCAUCUCAGCCUACUUAUGGUUUGCGUUCUCGUCCUCGUCCGCCUAUUGAUCGCUUUGGAUUUUCCACCGCUGGUGCUGCUGUUCUUGAGCCGACUACUUAUCAUCAGGCUGUUGUUCAUCCUGAAUGGCAGUUUGCGAUGGCAGAGGAGAUUGCUGCUCUUGAACGCACUGGUACGUGGGAUCUUGUUUCCCUUCCUCCCGGAGUUCGUCCCAUCACUUGUAAGUGGGUCUACAAGGUUAAGACUCGCUCUGAUGGUUCUCUUGAGCGUCACAAAGCUCGUCUUGUGGCUCGUGGUUUUCAGCAGGAGCAUGGUCGUGAUUAUGACGAGACUUUUGCUCCUGUGGCUCAUAUGACCACUGUUCGUACACUUCUUGCCGUGGCCUCUACACGCCACUGGUCUAUCUCUCAGCUUGAUGUUAAGAAUGCUUUUCUUAAUGGUGAGCUGCGUGAGGAGGUGUACAUGCAGCCACCACCUGGGUAUUCUGUUCCUGAUGGCAUGGUAUGUCGUCUUCGUCGCUCUCUCUAUGGCCUUAAGCAAGCCCCCCGUGCCUGAUUUGAGCGUUUUGCCUCUGUGGUGACUGCCGCUGGUUUUUCACCCAGUGUUCAUGAUCCAGCAUUAUUUAUUCACCUUUCUCCUCGUGGUCGGACUCUUCUUCUCUAUGUUGAUGAUAUGGUCAUCACUGGGGAUGACCCCAAGUAUAUUGCCUUUGUCAAGGCCCGUCUUAGUGAGCAGUUCCUUAUGUCUGAUCUUGGACCUCUUCGCUACUUUCUUGGGAUUGAAGUUUCUUCUACCUCUGAUGGCUUCUUUAUAUCCCAGGAAAAGUAUAUCCAGGAUCUUCUUGCUCGUGCUGCUCUUACUGAUGAGCGCAUUGUUGAGACUCCUAUGGAGCUCAAUGUUCACCUAUGCGCUACUGAUGGUGAUCCCCUGCCUGACCCGACGCGUUAUCGUCAUCUUGUUGGCAGUCUUGUUUACCUGGCUGUCACUCGUCCGGAUAUCUCUUAUCCGGUUCAUAUUCUGAGUCAGUUCGUCUCUGCUCCCACAUCGGUUCACUAUAGUCAUCUCCUCCGUGUUCUCCGAUAUCUUCGGGGCACGAUCUCUCACCGUCUAUUCUUUCCUCGCUCCAGUUCUUUACAGCUUCAGGCCUAUUCGGAUGCUACGUGGGCUAGUGAUCCUUCAGAUCGCCGUUCACUUUCUGCUUACUGUGUUUUUCUUGGUGGUUCUCUCAUUGCCUGGAAGACGAAGAAACAGAUUGCAGUUUCCCGUUCGAGUGCAGAGGCUGAGUUGCGAGCGAUGGCUCUUUUGACGGCAGAGGUGACUUGGUUACGGUGGUUACUUCAGGAUUUUGGUGUUUCUGUCACUACACCGACUCUACUCUUAUCUGACAGUACCGGUGCUAUUAGCAUUGCGCGCGACCCUGUGAAGCAUGAGCUCACCAAGCAUAUUGGCGUUGAUGCUUUCUAUGUGCGCGCUGCUGUGCAGGAUCAGGUUAUUGCUCUUCAGUAUGUGCCUUCCGAGUUACAGUUGGCGGAUUUCCUGACGAAGGCCCAGACUAGAGCACAACAUGGCUUUUAUCUCUCCAAACUCAGUGUUGUUCAUCCACCAUGAGUUUGAGGGGGGGUGUCAGAGUUAUAAUAUAAGUCAUGUACCCUUUUGUAUUUAUCCCAAUAUAUAAGGGGUUUCCUGCAUAUAGGCCACGACCUGUACAUGUAUAUAUACUGGCCUAUGGCCUCAUGGGAAUACAAGUUGCUUAUUCCUAACAGAUCUACGUCCAUCGUGCCUUAUCUGCCGAGCUUCUUUCGCCGACGGUUGUCGUGGACUAUGAUUUUCCGCGCAAUGCUUUAUUCUCUUGAUGUGCCAUCUUCUUUUGACAACCCAUCUUCACUUGAUACUUAUCUUGUAUCUUCAAGUGAUGCGGUGUCUACCUCUGAUGUGCCAUCUCUUCGUUCUCUCCUUCGACGACUCGACAAGUUUUGAAGACUCUUCAUGCUACGACGACACUCUCAAGACGUGGAUUUGGAUUAUCAUUUUUGUUUUAGUAUUACACUUCUUCAAAUGCAAUGCUAUUGCAUACGCUUUGCAUUUGAGGGGGGAUGUUAGGAAGUAUUAGUAUUAGUCUAGGAGUCCUUAUUAGUCUAUUAGUAUUAGUCUAGGAGUCCUUAUUAGUCUAUGUUUACUUUCCUUGCACCUCAAGUCAUGUGUAAUAUAUAUAUGCCCAUUGGGCCUUCAAUAAUGAUAAGUUGCUUUCCUAACACUAAGAUAGGUUAGGAAGACAAAAAAAAGAUGAUGUAUCCGGUGUAAGCUUCUUCUCCAGGUUUAAGAAAUACCCAGGAAAAACAAAUCUCAUGUAAUAGCAGUUUUCGCUGCUUUGGCACUAUUUCCUUUGCAGAUCAUCAAUUUCACACCUUUCAGAUUCAAAGUUCACACAAGUUUUUUUUUUCGAGAAAAUGCCGUGAGAUACAUGCGUUUGUUUGUAUUGAAAAGGUAGAGUUUAUGUUACAAUCCUCCUAGGAGGGGCAUUACUGGUAAUGAAAAACAUAUAGCUAGUGUACAUCCCAGGUCUGGGGGAUGAUGACGCGGAGACCAGCCGCUCCUGCCUUGGUCCAGAGGGACGCCUCGUCUUUGAUCCUUGUAACCAGGUCGUUCACCGAGGAUUGGGUGCCCUCGAACACGCAGCUGUUGCGGUGCUUCCAAAUCAUCCACGGGGUCAGCAGGGUCACGGAAGCGAAGCCUUUGCGGAUGGGCUGCGGUAUACUCCGCUUGGCGCGAUGCCACCAGGCAAGAAGGGAAGGCUCGUGGCUGGGGGCGGUGCACGGCAAGCGAAGCCAGGCGAUGACGUCUUGCCACACCUGCCUGGAGAAGGGGCAGCGGAGGAGCAAGUGGUCCAUCGUCUCGGGGUCCUGCAGCACAAGAGGCAAGGGUCGUGGUGCUACAGCCCACGACGAGCUAGGCGAUCGGAGGUCCAGCAUCUAUCCUGGUCAGCAAGCCAAUGGAAGAAGCGCACCCGGGGUGGUGCCCAGCUCUUCCAUAUGAGCUUCCAGGAGGCGCUGGGGAUGGAUCCCUGGAAGGUAGCCUUGAAGCAGGACUUGGCAGAGUACGAUCCGUUCCUGGUCCACUUCCAGGUGAGCUGGUCGGGCGUAUUGAACAGGAUGGUGUGCUCAAUGGCGUUCCAGAGGCGGAUGUACUGGCCAAUCUCGUGGAUGCCGAGAGUGCCCUCAAUGUCGCGAGCCCAAGCUAUAAAAUCUUACCACUUAAUGUUCUUUAAAGAAUAAAUCAAUUUCUGUGCCGUCUCUUUUUGUUUCCUCUUCUUUUCUUUUCAUGAAACUGCACGAAGUACCAAUGGCAUGAUACGCGAGUUUGUAUUAUCUCCAUCCUAUUUUACAUCAAGGCAGUCCCCAUUCUCCAAUACACAACUUUGUCCGAUAGUGUUUUCUAUUAUACUCCCUCCGUAAAGUAAUAUAAGAGCAUUUAGAUUACUAAAGUAGUGAUCUAAACGCUGUUAUAUUUCUUUACAGAGGGAGUAUGUUAGUAAAAAUAUAAACAUAUAUGAUGGAAAUAACAUUGAUAACAAAUCUAAUGAUGCCAUUCCUGAGUGAGAAUCUUAUCAGUGACCAAAAUUUCAAUAACAAUGGCUUCAGACAGUAGAAAUGAUAUUUGAAAACGAUGAAGUAGGGAGUAACAAAAAGUAAAUGGAUCAGCAAUAAUGUUUAACUUCCAAAUAGCAUCAUUUGAAGGUUGUUGAUCAACCUGACAUGGUAAAUGAUACUAGAUUAACUUUGUAUACCUCAUCAAUAGCGCACUUCUCCGAUGUUUGCAUAUGCACACCACUAUUUGAAGGUUGCUGAUCAUUCUUACAUGGUACAGUCCCUUCCUCUUCUGAUCCUAAGCAGAAAGAAAACACUUAACACGAUCAAUUUUUUCGCUGUUCAAAAGAUGGAGCACUGCUCUUUUCUCUUCAACAAAGUUCAAUACUUUGUUUGACAUUGCAAUUGGAAUUUUCAGGCAGCUCUUACCAGUAAGAUGAGCCUUCAAUGCAGUUACGCCACCUUGUAUUGAAUUAUCACACUCUAAGUUCAACUUCUGCAUGAAAUUUAGAAGUCUAUUAACGUCUUACUCAUUACAAGAAAUUUAUAAGUAGUAUCACCAAAAGUCUGUUAGGAUUUUAGCGAUUGAAUAAUUGCAGAAAGUAUGGCGAGGCGAUGUUUGAUGACGGAGCUCGGUGAUGCCUACACUCUGGCAGCCCUUACUCGGGUUCUCCUCCAUUGUGUAGUAAAUUGACAUAGGCUACCUGGUGCCUUUAUAUAUUAGGCACAGGUUAUAAGUGUUCUACUCCAACACAAAACCCUCCACUAAUACCAAGUCCAAAUGUAGCCCUAUACAUUAUUCGACACAAAUUCCGACAAACUUCAAAACCCCUAUUAUUGCAUCGGUUUUUUUAAGGAUAACUACCUCUCUGUUUUGUGGAUUCCCGUUGUUCUUGUCAACAAUGUGGUGCUUGCCAUUCUCGAUUGGCAACUGCUCCUUCACCCAAUCACUGCCUUUCUUUGACUGUUCAUAAUCCUCAACUGGUUGGCCACUAUGUUCUGUACCACACUGGUUGCUCCGAGCUGACAACUUCUCAAAGAAAACAAACUAAAAUAGGUCGGUAAGUUUAAAUGCUAUAAUAGUUACUCAAAAGAACUAAGGUGGGUUAUGAAAAACAAAAAAGAUGGUGUAUCUGGUGUAAACCCACUUUUCUGUUACAAAUCGAACCCGUUUGAACAUUGUAUGUAUGUUUUUCUAAAGUAGUUUUUAUUGUUUUGGCACUCUUUUUUCUGCUUGUCAAUUUUACAACUUUCAGAUGUAAAGUUCACACGAGUCGAAGGUUAACACUGAAAGACAUAGUGAGCGGUUAGAUAGUCCACAUGCCAAAUUUUAAAUUGCAACAUGCUAACUUAUAGGUGCCUGUCGGGGUAGAAUCCGGCAGACCCCUCGAUGGCUGUUGUGACUAGCCGGAAAGAGCAGAGGGAAACAGGAGACCGGAUUAUCUAGGUUUAGACCCUCAGGGUGGAGGUAAAGCCCCUACUCCUGCUCGUGUUAGAUUAAUGUAUAUGGGUGUAUGUUAGCCCAAACUACUGCCGAGUAGCUACCUCUCUCUUGUACAAUCUAGCAGAGGACUAAAUAGUAGACAGCUGCACACUUGCUGCGGCAACGCUCAAGAACGGAGGAACUCACACAGUAGCGGCUGCACACUACUACUACUUGCACUCAAGUAUACUAUCGAAGCACUCACACUCACUAGUGAACAGCAUACAGAGGCUCUUGUAGUAGUAGUACUAGUAUUGCUCUUUGGCUGAUGGAGUGAAAUGAAUUACAACGAUGGAGUUCCCCGCAAAAAGAAAAUGGAGUAGUGCUCCUUAUAUAGUGAACUGAACCAACCUAUUAGCCUAGUUGACAUAAGCAGUUACAUCAUGUCCUACCAAUACGUCACUGCUGACCUACAACAGUAAAAACGAAAAUGGUCUUGCCGACCUACUGCUGCUGCCUUCACUUUGUAGCUAAGUAAUGCUACCGCUGAUGCAUGCAUGCUUCGUAGACAUGGGUGGAGCCCACAGUGAAUCAAGGGGUGAUGGUAGGUAUAAGAUUGGAUGCCCUAUUGACUAGCCCUGCCCCGACUUAUAAAGGAUGCCUGGGCAUGGGGUUACAAGAAUCCUAGCCGAUCUAAGGAGGUGGAGGAAUCCUCCUGGGACCCGGCUUCCUUGUCUUUUUUUGGGAAAACGCAAACAUUUCAUUGAAAAGGAGGAGUUCGAGUACAAUCAUCCUAGGACAUGAAUUACAUUACGAUCAGUGCACAUCCCAGGUUUGUGGAAUCACCAGGCGGAGGGCAGGUGCCCCGGCGGCCGCCCAAGAACGGGCCUCGUCCUUGAUCCUAUCUAGAAGCGUAUACAUGGAUGGUGUUGCAUCGUCAAAGACGCAGCUGUUUUUGUGCUUCCAAACGAUCCCGGGCACGAGCAGCGCGGCUGAUUUCAGGGCCUUGUGGAGGAUCCGUGGCGUGUUCUCCUUGGCGUGCAUCCACCAGUCCAUGAGUGAUGGCUCACGGCUCGGUAUAGGUGUUGGGAUGCGGAGCCAGGCCAGGGUCUCAUGCCAUGCCUCGCGGGCGAAUGGGCAUUCCAGCAGCAGGUGUCGUAAGGUUUCGGGCUCUUGAUCGCAUAGGAGGCAGCGAGGAUGGUGCUGCAGUCCAUGGCGGGCCAACCUCUCGGCAGUCCAGCAGCGAUCCUGGCUGGCCAACCAAUGGAAGAAUUUGACCCGCGGUGGCACCCAACUUUUCCAUAUGAGCUUCCAUGAGUAGCAAGUCGUAGAUCCAUGGAAUGUGGCUAAGUAGCAUGACUUCGCCGAGUAGAUGCCGCUCGCUGUCCAUUUCCAUAUCAACUGGUCUGGGCCAGCCAAGAACUCGAUGUGUUGCAUGAUCUGCCAGAGCUGCAGGUACUGACUGAUCUCGUGCAGGCCUAAAGUGUCAUGGAUGUCGCGUGCCCAGGAGUUAUCGUUGUGUCCGUCCGCUACAGAUCUGGCCGCGCGUCGGCGCUUGGGUAUGCAGUCAUACAGGUGAGGCAUGAGCUCGCGGACGGAGCGGCCAUUGAUCCACGGGUCCUCCCAGAGCAAGGCGGUCGUGCCGUUCCCGAUGACCAUGUAGGAGGAUGCCCAGAACAGCGCAUGCUCCACAUGCGAGAACUGGAGGUCAAGUCCUUGCCAUGCACGCUCGGGAUCAGUUCUUGAGAACCAUAACCAGCAAAGCCGCAGUGCGAGUCCGGCGCGUCUUUGUCUUGCGCUCCAAGUACUCAGGGCCCUUCCUUCUAAAGGGCCCACGGCCUGGGAUGAUGUCCCAAGGCAUGUAUCAACCUUGAGGGGCCUUGGGCCGGCUUCCAGUGGCACGAGGCACCCCUGGGCCAUGACACCGUCAAUGCCCUCAGAAGUAACUAGAUGACACCCCGCACGUUGCUGCGGAAAUUUUUUAGCACGCACCGGUAGAAGUUAAAUUCCAUAAACUCAUAUAGUUUAAGCGUUCAAUGGUAGUAUGGUAGAGGCUAGGGUUCUACCAGGUCUCGGACGUAGGUUGUAGGGGUGGAAGUGCGGGCUGCGAGGUUGGGGACGCCGGCGCCGGCGGUUGGGCGUCGUCGCGGCAUGAGAGAGAGAGAGAGGCGGCUAGGGUUUGGGGCUCUCGUCUCCUGAGGGAGACGACAACAGAAUAUACUGUUUAUUGUCUGCUUAAUAUCGAAGGGGUACAUGUGUUUAUAUAGGACGACAGCCUCCACUAAACCCUACAUAACUUGGACUCUAACUUGGACUCUAAUAUAACUUGGACUCUAAGAUAGGUAAGAUAACUUGGGCUAAGCCCGUAAUUAACCCUGCCCAUUGGGCCUCCUCCGUUGGUACGUUGUACCGGUCAUAACAUCUCUCCCCGCCUUCUCAAACAGCUCGUCCUCGAGCUGAACAUCUGGAAACUGCUGGCGGAAAUCGUCGAGCUUCUCCCAAGUCGCUUCCUCCUCUGGCAGACCGGUCCACUGUACCAAGACAUGCCAGACGCCGCGACGCUGCUGCGCCUGCAGCACCUUCGCCACCUGUGCGGAAGCUGGAAGGAGGCGGCCAUCCGAAGUAGGAGGAAGGGCCGGCGUCGCUGCAGGAGGGUCCCCGCGGUAGGCCUUCAGUAAGCCGACAUGGAAGACGUCGUGGAGGCGAGAACCAGCUCGCAGCUCCAAGCGGUAUGCGAGUGUGCCGACACGCUCCAGCACACGAAAGGGACCGGCGUAGCGAGGUCCCAAUUUGCGCUUGGAGCGCGGGUCCAGAGACUGCGUGGUCCUGUGGAGGAGGCGCAGCCACACCCAACGGCCCACCGCGAACUCCGCCUCGCGAUGAUGAGCAUCGUAGUACUUCCGAGCUAGCUGCUGUGCUUGGAGAAGACGCUGGCGUGCCUCAGCCAGAAUGUCGUCGCGGGUGCGGAGUAAGUCGCCCGCCGUCUCGGACCGAGCCGUCCCAGGCUCGUAAGGGAGCAUCGCCGGAGGUGGGCGCCCGUAGACCACCUCGAAAGGCGUGGUGUGCAGGGCGGAGUGAUAGGAGGUGUUGUAGCAAUACUCCGCCCACGCCAACCAGUCCACCCAAGCUCGUGGACGAUCACUAGUAACACAGCGCAGGUACAUGGUGAUCACCUUGUUGACCACCUCGGAUUGGCCGUCUGUCUGAGGGUGGAACGCCGUGCUCAUGCGGAGCUUCACGCCCGCCAGUCGAAAGAGAUCCCGCCAGACAUGUCCCGUGAACACGGGAUCACGAUCGCUGACGAUGGAGAAUGGAAAACCGUGGAGGCGGACGAUGCCGUCGAAGAAGGCCCGCGCCACGGAGGCGGCUGUAUAUGGAUGACCCAGGGCGAUGAAGUGCACGUACUUGGAGAAGCGGUCAACCACCGUGAGGAUGACGGACUUGCCGCCCACCUUGGGAAGGCCCUCGAUGAAGUCCAUGGAAAUAUCCGCCCACACCUGGGAGGGUACGUCCAGCGGCUGCAGUACAUCCGCGGGUCGUAGUGUCUCCGUCUUGUUCCGCUGGCACGUCACGCACGACCGCACCCAGUCGCGGACCAUCGCGCCAUCACCGGGGAUGUAAAAAUCAGCACGGAGACGAUGGAGAGUCUUCUGCACGCCCUCAUGCCCUGCAGAGUGCGCCAAGGUCAGGACCUGGUGGCGCAGGUCGCCAUGGUCGGGCACGAAGAUGCGGCGGCCAUGUAGGAGCAGCCCCUCGUCCAAGCGCCAGGGCGCGUCCAGCUCGCCGGCGUCAAGGCGCUGGCGCAGGCCCUGGGCGUCCACGGCCGUCGAAGUUGCCCGGCGAAUGUCGUCGAUGAAGGCGAAAGAUGGCCCGGAGCGAAUGCACGUGAUAGUGCCAGCCAUGGCGACGUCGUCCGCGACAUCCUCAGUGUCGCGGCGGGAUAAGUAGCAAGAGCACGCCACCGGCGGCUUAGGGUUUUACCCAUACAUAUUUUACAUGCCCAAAUGGACUGGAAAGAGAGGCUUAUAUAAGCCAAUACACAUAAAGUAGCUAAAGUAACAAAGCAGCUGGUAGUGCUUGUCGGGAAGUAAACAACGACGCGGGAUAGAUGCGGAGCCGUCGGAUGCUGGAUCAACGGUCGUCGACUCCCUCUUCAGCGAAUCGGUAUCUGCCUCCCUAAGCCGUUGGAUGGACGAUCUACCCUCCAGGAUACUUCCAGCACGCUGGAACAGGGGAGCCUCUCGUUCCUAACAAUUCCCCCUGUUAAGCGGCAGCUUGCCCUCAAGCUGCAAAAGAAGGAAAAACCUUUUGUAUAAAAGCUGAAUCUUCCCAGGUGGCUUCUUCCACCGGCAUAUUCACCCAUUUGAUCAACCAUCUCACCACAGGAACACUGAUGUCCCCCGAACUCUGGGAAUUAGUUUCCUCUUCAAUAUGGCCUCAGGUUCCAUCUUGUUCAACCCAUCUGGACCCACUAAAGGAAGGUUUUUGGAAGGCACUACUGAUGGCCCAAUGUGCUUCUUCAACUGACUCACAUGAAAUGUAUGGUGUAACUUGCAAUCCUCAGGCAGUAGUAACUUGUAAGCAUGAAGACCAAUUCUCUGAAGAACUCUGAAGGGCCCAUAGAAUCUGGAGUGCAACUUCAAGUGCCUGUGGAGACUGAGAGAGGUGUGUCUGUAAGGUUGCAGUUUCAAGUAAACCAUAUCUCCCACCAAAAAUUCUCUUUCCUUUCUCUUCUUGUCAGCAAACCAUUUCAUCCUUGCCUGGGCCUUGAUAAGGUUUUGCUUUAUCACUUCCAAAGCUAACUCUCUGUUUUGGAGUAAAUUGUCAGAAUCCACAGAAAUAGUAUCAGGCAAUGCAGACUCAGCUACCUGGGAGGAGGAAAACCAUAAAGAGCCUGAAAAGGUGUCAUCUGCUAUGAAGUGUGGAAGCUAGUGUUGUACCACCACUCAGCUAAAACCAACCAUCCAUGCCACUUCUUUGGCUGCUGAAAGCACAUACAUCUCAGGUAAUUCUCCAGGCAUUGGUUCACCCUCUCAGUUUGCCCAUCAGAUUGGGAAUGAUAACUAGUACUGAUGUGCAGCUUAAUCUUCAAGGAUUUAAACAGUUGCUGCCAUAAGUUGCUAGUAAAGAUUUUGUCUCUAUCAGUGACAAUUACUACUGACAUACCAUGCAACUUGAAAAUUGUUUCAGAGAAAGCCCUUGCCACAGAUUCCACUGUGAUAGGAUGUUUCAUGGCAAUGAAGUGAGCAUACUUUGUAAAUCUGUCCACAACUACCAAAAUCAAAUCCUUGUUCUCAGACAGAGGUAGACCUUCCACAAAAUCAAUACUAACAUGAGCCCAAGCAAAGUCAGGGACAGGAAGUGGUUCCAACAGGCCUGGAUAAGGGCAAUGUUCAGCCUUAUUUAUUUGACAGACUGGGCAAGCCUUGACAAAUGCAAUAACAUCCUGUUUCAAUCCUGGCCAAUGAAACACCAACUUUACCCUUUGAUAAGUAGCUCUUUCCCCAGAAUGACCACCUAACUCAGAGCUAUGGAAAGUUUUCAGUAGGACUUGUCUUAGAGCAGUUGCAUUCCCCACUACCACCUUGUUCUUGAACCUGAGGAUACCAUUCCUAUAGGAGUAGGAAGUAGUGUUAUCCUUGUUCACAGUGCACUGAGCAAUCAACUCUUUAAUCUUUCCAUCUUGGCUAUAACUUUUAACCACUUCUACUACCCAGGUGGGAGUAGUACUGCUAGCAAUAAGCAUGGAAGCUAAAUGCUUCACGCUGGACAGUGCAUCUGCUGCUUUGUUCUCCUUGCCCUUCUUGUAUUGAAUAGUGAAAUUGUAUCCCAGCAACUUGAGUAGCAACUUGUGCUGAAUUCCCUCAGUGAGUUUCUGCUCUUGUAUAUAUUUCAGGCUCUCUUGAUCUGUUCUGAUAAUUAGAGCAGUGGCUAGGAAAUAAUGCUUCCAUUUUUUUACAGCUUCAAUGAUUGGCAUAGCUUCUUGAUCAUAGGUGGACAAGGCAGCAGCUCUAGGCCCAAUUGUUUUACUGAAAUAAGAAAUGGGUCUUCCUUGCAUCAAUACAGCUCCCAAACCAUAUCCACAGGCAUCAGCCUCUAAUAUAAAUGGUUUGGAGAAAUCGGGUAAGGCCAGGACUGGAGAGUGAGUGAGCCUGUCCUUUACUUCAGCAAAUGCCUUGUCCUGAUCCUUAUCCCAAUGGAAAGCAUCUUUCUUUAAGCAAUCAAACAGGGAUCUGCAUAUCAAGCCAUAACCCUGAAUGAAUCUUCUGUAAUAGCCACUCAGACCCAAGAAACUCCUCAACUCAGUGAUGUUGGUAGGAGCUGGCCAGUCCUGGAUUGCCUUGAUCUUAGAUGGGUCAGUAGCCACUCCCUCUUGAUUAAUAAUGUGGCCCAAAUAUUGAACUUCAGUUUGACCAAAAGAACAUCUUUCCAAUCUUGCAUAUAACUUGUUCUCUUGCAGUAUAUCAAACACUUGAGUCAAGUGUUGUUUAUGUUCUUCCAGAGAGGUGCUGAAAAUCAGGAGAUCAUCAAAGAAUAUCACUACAAAUUUCAGCAUGCCAAAGAGAAAAUUCAUUAGGGCUUGAAAGCUAGGAGGGCCAUUGGUAAGACCAAAAGACAUGACUAGGUACUCAAACAAGCCCAUAUGAGUAACAAAAGUUGUUUUGUAGAUAUCUUCUUCUGCCAUUCUGUCAUUUUGAUCUGGUGGUAACCAUUUCUAAGAUCAAUUUUGGAGAAAAACUUAGCUCCUUUUAGGUGGUCCAAUAAAUCUUCUAUGACCGGAAUUGGGUACUUGUUCUUGAGGGUAAUAGAGUUCAGCUUCCUGUAAUCAGUGCACAAUCUCCAAGAUCCAUCUUUCUUUUUGACUAGCAAAACAGGAGAGGAAAAAGGGUUGGUACUGGGCCUAAUCACUCCAGACUUUAACAACUCUUUGAUGAUCUUCUCCAAUAUUUCCUUCUGGUGAUGGGGCAUUCUCUAAGGUCUCUGAUUCACUAUUGUUGCUCCCUCCACUAAUGGAAUUCUGUGAUCACAUGGUCUGCUGGGAGGUAACUCAAUUGGUUCCUGAAACAGCAUUCAUACUUUUGCAGCAGAGAUUGUAAUUCUGCAGGUAAUUCCUUAGUUGUGCCCCCCAUCUCAAUAGCACAUGCAGUAAACAAGACAAACCCACACACUGCCUGUUCCAUCAGUUUAUCAGUACAGUCUGUAGCUUCCUCAGGCUCUGCCUUUGGCAUUGUUUCAUCAGUAAAUGUGACUAACUGGCCAUUCAAAGCAGACACUUUCAUUUCCACUUUAAUGAAAUCCAUGUGUAUUGGGUUGUACUUCUUUAACCACUCAACUCCCAAUAUUAUGGCAUAACCCUUCAAUUGCAGAAUUCUGAAACUGUCGGUAAAAUGUUGACCUUGUAUUUCAUAGGGGCAAUCAUGUACCAUGAACUCACUCCAUAGGAUCUCUCCACUGGCUACAGCCACUCUAACCUUAGGGGUGGACUUAGGUUUUACUUGUAAUUUGGCUGCCAUCUCUGGUGAAACAAAAGUGGAGGUACUGCCACUAUCCACUAAUGCUGUUGCAGAAGUGUUGCCCACCUGGACUGUCAGAAUAGAAGUAUUUUUGAUUGCUCCUAUUCCCAUAGUUGCCGCAUGCAUAGACACUUGAAGAAUUGCAUCAGUUGGAAGUUGGUCCAGGUUCUCCAAGUCUGGAUCAGCAAAAUCAGUAACAUAGAUGGUCUCAGGUACUUCCUCUUCUUGUGCUUGCAGAGCUUGAAUUUGUGCUCUUUGACUCAUCUUACACACUUGUCUGUGCCCUGGGACCCAAGGUUCCCUACACUUGUAGCAAACCUGGUUCUGUUUUGCUUGUUGUAUCACUACAUUUCUGUUCUGAACUGCAGGAAUCCCUUCUAUCUUUGGUUGUUCAAAAGUCACUUGCCUCUUUAGUUGUGGAACAUAAGCUUUAGUCUGCACCACAUGCACUGGUGGUUGGGCUUUUUCCAUUCUUCUAGCAUACCAUAUGGCAGUUUGCAUACCCUUAGGCUUGAAACAUUCCACAUGGCUCUUGAUGUAAGUGUUAAGGCCAGACACAAAGCUAGUCACAUAGUAGUUAUCAGGAAUACCAGGGUUUUCUCUUCUCAUGAUAUUCAUUAACUGCUCAAACUGUUCCACAUAAGCUGCCAAGGUAGAAGUUUGAUGAAUUGCAUGGAAGGAACUUACUACAUCACAGGCUGAGUCAAUAGCAAAUCUUUCAGAUAAAUAAGAACAAAAUUUAUGCCAAGGCACAUUGCUAGGUGCAUAUCCAGUUCCUCUCCACCAUUGAACAAUAGGCCCUUUUAAAUAAGAUAUUGCUAGCUCAGUUCUAUGCUCAAUUGGUGUUCUGGCAGCAGCAAAAUACUGGUCCAAAUUCUGAAUCCAGGCCUCAGGAUCCUGUCCUUCAAAUUCAGAAAUGUUCAGUUUUGCAAGUUUCACUGUGAGAAGAGGCCUUCUAUUGUCUAAAGGAGAAUACUGCCUUUGCUUUUGCCCAUCUGGCCAUUCUUCCAUUGUGCCCAUAUCAACUGGAGGUAACUGCAGUUGUUGUUGUUGCCCUGUUGCUUGAUUACCCUCGUGCUUGUUGUUGCUGAAGUUAGGAUGCAUGUAUGGUACCUUGUUAGUACCAUCCAAAUUCAGCUCUUUUCCUGUGUAAUCUCAACACUGCAGACCCUACUACCACUAGUGCUUCUUUUUCCUGUCCAUGCACUGAUGGUGGUGUGUAGUUGUUCAAUUGCUUCGGCCUACCAGCAGGUACAACAUGUGAGUGCACCUCAUUAAUUUUCACCUGGGCACUACCUUGCUCAGAGCGCUCAAUCUAUCCCUCUUCAGAGUCAGGAUCCAGCAACAACUUUCUGAAGUUCUCUUGGAUCUUGUCAAAAUUGCUCUGCAUUGUUACGGAAUUUUUAUUCACCAUGGCGCGGAAUUCCUGAAAUUCCUUCCGAUCUUCAUCCCUGUUGCUUUGCAGUGUUUUAAUAUCCAACUCCAACGAUGCCAGUUGCAGAUCGGCUGUCACUAUCAAGGUUGCUUGCCCUAUCAUGGUGAUGGCCUAAAACAGGGCUGGGUGGUGGGAUUUGACUCGAGUACCUUGGAUCUUCGAUCUACCGCCGCCAACGCCCGCCUCCAGGAUGCACAAUCUCAGCACAGUAGAUGGGGUUUUACAACAGGGAAGUUUCCCUGUCAACCAGAGCUGCUCUAAAAUUGCACCCGAACAACGCCACUCCGGCCGCCGCCCGCGUACACCGCCGCCCGAUCUAGAUCUCGCAGAGAGGAAUAUCACUGCUCGCUCCUCCUCUACGCGCCACCUCCAGCCGAGGAUCGACUGGCCUCUGAUACCAAUUGUCAGGAUCUAACUGACUGACUGAAGAAGAAAAGCUAUUUUGAACUAAUUUGAGAGACCGAAAUCAGCUAAGAGGCAAAUUGUAUUGCUCUCAAAUUGGGGAAAGUAGCAAGAGCACGCCACCGGCGGCUUAGGGUUUUACCCAUACAUAUUUUACAUGCCCAAAUGGACUGGAAAGAGAGGCUUAUAUAAGCCAAUACACAUAAAGUAGCUAAAGUAAUAAAGCAGCUGGUAGUGCUUCUCGGAAAGUAAACAGCGAUGCGGGAUCGAUGCGGAGCCGUCGAAUGCUGGAUCAACGGUUGUCGACUCCCUCUUCAGCGAAUCGGUAUCUGCCUCCCUCAGCCGUUGGAUGGACGAUCUACCCUCCAGGAUACUUCUGGCACGCUGGAACAGGGGAGCCUCUCGUUCCUGACAGGCUGUCGGUCUCAAGGUUCCUCCCCGUGUUCGGUCCUAAGCCUCGGUUGUCCCUGCUCGACCACUUCACCCCGGACGCCGCUGGCAUCUUCGACAACCGCACCGUUCCGCUUGUGUCGUAGCGCACAAUCAGAGUGGAAUAUGAAGGAGGUUCGGUGGAGAAGAGGAGGGGCUAUGCUGGAGGAUUAGUGUGUUCCGUGGUUGAGAUUAGAAACACUCGGAAAGAAAUCUUAAGAGGAAGGAAAGAAAUAAUGGUAUCCUUGUGAUGCUCUUCAGUUACCAAAUAAUUAGAAGAAAGAAAAAAGAAACUGAAGAGGGAGGGGAAGAGAUCAAGUGAGAGGAAGGGGAAGAGUUAGAGGUGUGUCACCCACUCACGUUGUUGAAAGUCUCAAACUAAACGGAUCAGGAACCAUUCCAGUAAACCGAAUGAUUUAAGAAGUUGCUGACAUGGCCCAUUCAGUGAAUGCAUGACGUGGGCAAAGUAUGGCUGAUGUGUCUCACUGCUGAUGUGGACAUGAUGCAUGUUAAGAGAAAUGAGAUAGUGGGGAUGCACUAUUUAGGUAUUAUAGAUUCACACUCAUGGGUCUUGGACUUUGACUCAGGACAAGCCGCACUGACAUAAGAUACUUGACUACUUUGGUAAACAUGCAAUGACAUUGAUUUGCAAACAAAUCUUACAACUUAAUGUCAUUUAUCAAAAUAAAUCAAUUUCUAGUCCAUGGCUUGUUAUGUUCCCUUUUCUUCUAUUUCCUUUUCAUGAAAAGGUCACUGCACAUAAGUACCAGUUGCAUAACUUGAUAAGCUUUUACUGUCUCCAUCCUCUCUACUUGUUUCCGAGUUCACACACAAAGACAGUCUACAUUCUCCAAUACACAACUUUGUCCACUAGUUUUUCUAAUUAUAUAUUAGCAAAAUUAUAAACAUAUAAUUAUGUAAAUGUAAUUUCUAACAAAUAUGAUGAUGGCAUUCAAGGUGAGAAGACUUAUUAGUGACCAAAGUUUGAAACGUGCACCCGACAUUCAAAGUCGUAAUUAUUUGAAAAAUGAGGGAGCAAGGUUUAACAUAAAUUAAAUGAAUCAACAGGAAUUAAGUUAUUGGGUUCGUAUACCUCAUCAAUAGUGCAAUUCCCUGAUGUUUGCAUAUGCAUACCAUUAUUUGAAGGUUGCUGACCAGUCUUACAUGAUACAAGCCCCUCCUCUUUCCCUUCUGAGCAAAAAAGACUAGCCCCAUCAAUUUUCUUGUAAGGGGGCCAUGGGUCCCUAUUAAAAAGUUGCCGUGCUGCUCUUUUCUCUUCAACGAAGUGCAACACUUGCUUUGACAUUUCCGUUGGAAUUUUCGGGCAGCUGCUGUCAGUAAGAUGAGCCUUCAAUGUAGUUACCCCACCACUUCGACAUAAAUCACACCACUUGCACUGCCACCGUUUUUUAUUUCCAUCAAGAUCCACCGCAUGCUCCCAUCCAAUAUCCCUUACCCCUCGUAGCAACAAGGGAGGCUGCAAAACAAUGUAAAACAUGGAUCAGUACAAGUUUAUUGGUAGUGCUCAGCAGAUGCACAAAAAAAAUUAUGAGAUGUAAAUCACAAAUAAUCAGGACAAGGAUUUUGUGCUCAUGGCUGGGUUUGUACUUAUUUUGGUUUGUGCAUUUCAAAUGAGCUUGGGAAUAUCAUAGAUGUAAAGAGAUGCUAUGGUAUGUGCACAAGCAAAACAAUGUACAAACAUAUGAGUAUGACAGUAUGGUUCUAAAAGGAUGAAAGAGGAAGAAUGUUCUUGCCGAUCAUAUUCCACAAAUUUGUCUGUUUUGACAGUGCAUGGGUGAUUUUUUAUUUCAAACCACUCUCAGCAGUGAGCACUAGUCUUCAAAGAUACGAAAUCCACAAAUUUCACAAUCUCACAGUGAUAUUUUGGCAUUUUUGUUUUUACGGAUGGCUUUAUUGUGUCUUAUUAAGUUUAAUUGCCUUUGGUUAAUUCUAGAUUUUCUGAGGUACCACUGCGGGUUUGAGUUGAAAUCGGUUAGGUGUUGUAACAUACCCAUUCCAAGUCCACAGGUGCAUGAACCUAAAGUAAGCAACCAAGCGAAUCAAAUAUCCAAUAAUGUGAUUCUUUAUAACUCCAGAUGAAACAAUUGUUCAUCAUGAACAGAAUCAUUCUAUUACCCCUUUAUGCUAAAUUAGCUAAACAAACAGUAGAUGUCGCUCUGAACAGAAAAUAAAUUAAGGGGAAAGUACACUUGUCCCUUUGUAUACCCUAAAAAUGGUAGGCUCCUGAUGAUCCGCAUUCGUCAGGUUAGUGCCUUCUUCAAGAAUGUAAGUGUCUAUUCGAGUUGGCACCUCUAAAUCAACAGAUACAGGAUCCUUCUCAGUCUUGGUAUCAUCAGCAAAGCUCCUGGUCACACUGUUGACACCAUUCUGAGCAGCUCGCUGCUUUCGUCUCUUUCUUUUCUUCUGCAAAUGUUCCCUAAUAUUUUCAGAAACUUCUGCUGGAACCUUUGGGCACAUUUUGACAUCCAAAUCACCAGCAAGAUGCCGUUUGAGUCUAGACACACCACCACCAUACCUAGUCAGGUGACAAUACAUACACUUCCAGUGUUGUCUGUUUUCAUCAAUCAUUAUCCCGUGCUUCCAUCCAAUAUCCCUACUUUUCCAGAAAGUGUCAGUAACCUGCAAAAAAAUAAGAUCAACUCUGCAUUAUAUAUGCAAAUAUAAGUAGCUCAUUCAAGUCAUAAUAAAUGAAGGCCCUGAAAUAGAGUUUAAUAGGUCAGCAAGAAUGUCACUUACUGAAGAAAAAGAUAUAAACAAAAUUAAAAGCUGGCAAAGUAAAAGGGUUUUAAUCUAUGCGACACCAACACGGAUAUGUGACAAAUUGGAUAUGGGGGGUACUUACAUUUUUAUAAAUUCUAGCAUGUGGUGGUGGCUUGACGCUGGUGAUUUGUAUUUAAUUUAAUAUUAACUCUCCCGAUACUUGGUGGACAUGUAUCUAGCAUGUAUCCAUGUAACAUAGGGUUCCGACAAGAUAUGCCAUGCAUGUCCUGUUAUUUCAUUUUCACAGGUUUUAAUACUAACUGGAGAAAGGAAAAGUUCCUCUAUGUUACUCUGUUUGACCAACAAAACAGAUUGGCAAAGAUACUACUCAAUGUUUUUUUUCCGAGAAAUAACCACUCAAGCUUUUGACACGGCAAAAUCAAAUGUGGCACUCUUUUACCAUUAGCAAAGUAUUUCAAGAUUGCAAAAGGCAAAAGCUGAAUGUUGCCCCCAGCAAAUUGCUUGGCGAGCAUAAGAUAAUCUGUAACCAGAAAUUUGCAGCCAUGGAGAACAAAAGCAUACAAUAGACCACUGAAAAACAAGCUCUUAUACUUACUCAUCAAUUCUUCACCCAUUUGAUUACCGAAGUCAGGUGGUAAUCCUGGAAAAUUCAAAAGGCUUUGGCGAUAUGCACCCUAUUACUGAUGCCCUCCCGCAGUCAUGCAACUACCAAGUUGAUGUCACUAAUUCGUUCUAACAAGCCAAAAUAAAAUAUUUGGCUAGCGUAAACCCCUAUGUGUGCCACAUUGCAACUGAAGUCUCUUUCUAACUCAGCACCAUGUAAUACACAGAUUUCAGUUGAAGAUUACACCUGCUGCUCCCGCACAUCCACGGGAUUGGGCUCUGGCUCAGGCUCAGGCUCUGGCUCUGGCUCUGGCUCUGGCUGACGGCGUCUCUUGUAUGUGCGCAGAGCCUCCAGGGACGACCAAUCCCUCAAAUGCACCUUGUCAUUCCCUUUGUCCUNNNNNNNNNNNNNNNNNNNNNNNNNNNNNNNNNNNNNNNNNNNNNNNNNNNNNNNNNNNNNNNNNNNNNNNNNNNNNNNNNNNNNNNNNNNNNNNNNNNNNNNNNNNNNNNNNNNNNNNNNNNNNNNNNNNNNNNNNNNNNNNNNNNNNNNNNNNNNNNNNNNNNNNNNNNNNNNNNNNNNNNNNNNNNNNNNNNNNNNNNNNNNNNNNNNNNNNNNNNNNNNNNNNNNNNNNNNNNNNNNNGUCAUUCCCUUUGUCCUUGUUGGCAUCCAUCUUCCACCGCCAGGGUUUCGGUCAAGAAACCAAAUAUUCCUGCAUCCAUGUCAACGAACAUCCUCAGAACAGAAAAAAGAAGCUGCACUUGCAAUUAAUUCCCAAUCCAACAUACCGAACAGAAAUAUUCGAGCUCUUCCACACCCCCAAAAGAAGCAAACACCAGGAAAGUUCAAAUUUUGGGGAAAAUAACGCGGUCAAGGCCGCGGAAAAACAUGGCUGAAAGCCCCGGGGGGGGGGGGGGGNNNNNNNNNNNNNNNNNNNNNNNNNNNNNNNNNNNNNNNNNNNNNNNNNNNNNNNNNNNNNNNNNNNNNNNNNNNNNNNNNNNNNNNNNNNNNNNNNNNNNNNNNNNNNNNNNNNNNNNNNNNNNNNNNNNNNNNNNNNNNNNNNNNNNNNNNNNNNNNNNNNNNNNNNNNNNNNNNNNNNNNNNNNNNNNNNNNNNNNNNNNNNNNNNNNNNNNNNNNNNNNNNNNNGGGGGGGGGGGGGGGGGCGGAUUCAGGAGGAUUCGGAGGCAGAGGGGGGUGCGAAAAAGAAACUGCUGCUGCUACAAGCGAGGCGAAAAGAAGAGACGAGGAAGGCUGUGCCUGUAUUGUAAUGUUGGGUACAGACAGCCUCAGGAAGGAAGAGAAGAGACUGACAGAAAUCCGGCACCACUUGUUGGUGGGAGUGUUUACUGCUGCGGCGGCCUCCCCCUUCCCUUUCCUCACACCAUCUACAAUGGCAGCCCUAUAAUAAAACAUAAAAAAAUGUUUGAAAUAUAAUUUACAACAUCAAAAAUUUGUUUUUCAGCCAUCAAAAAAAUAUAUCUUCAAUAGUAACCCUAUAAUAAAGCACCACUACUCUAACAACAGCUGCAUGAUAUUUUUCUUCUACACAUUUUUGCAUCCAAAAGUGAUACUCGGCAAGGAUCUUGAAACCAACGCGGAGAAGGAGAACGAGGCUCCGAAAAUGAAGAAUCUCAGUCGACACCCUCAUGCGCGCACGAGAACCGGCCAAGGAUGCGCGGCCACGGAGGCUCGACUCCUAUCUCUCUCCCUCUAUUGCAGAUGGUUCUGGCAGUCNNNNNNNNNNNNNNNNNNNNNNNNNNNNNNNNNNNNNNNNNNNNNNNNNNNNNNNNNNNNNNNNNNNNNNNNNNNNNNNNNNNNNNNNNNNNNNNNNNNNNNNNNNNNNNNNNNNNNNNNNNNNNNNNNNNNNNNNNNNNNNNNNNNNNNNNNNNNNNNNNNNNNNNNNNNNNNNNNNNNNNNNNNNNNNNNNNNNNNNNNNNNNNNNNNNNNNNNNNNNNNNNNNNNNNNNNNNNNNNNNNNNNNNNNNNNNNNNNNNNNNNNNNNNNNNNNNNNNNNNNNNNNNNCAGCUCCUCCCUGCACCCCCAUGCGCCACGGUGAGUCACCGGCACACCCGAAUCGGCUCACCGUCGCGGGCCUAUUUAUAGCCCUCCCCCUCGCUCCUGCACCCCUCAGAUAGCUUCACCACGACCACUAGCACCUCCUUAGCCACCCCAGCAAGCCAGCACAGCCCCGGUGCUCGAGAUCGACCGAGGCCCCUCCGCCUCGGAGCUCCGGUCGAUCUCCGGCAACACGACAGCUCCUGUGUCCCAUGACCCACCAAACUGAUCCCCUCAACCCCAGGAAGCUUUCCCCCAACUUCCCCGAGCAUUUCCGUGCCCCUAGCUGCCUCCUCGACCACCUCCCGAAACUCCUCCGCCGCGGCCUCCUCGUUGCCGGCGAACCCUUGCCUCUCCGUCGUUGUUCCGACCACCAGCAGGUAGGCGGCGUCAUGCUGAGCCCAUUUCUGUCCUCGUUGGGGCUUGAGGACGUCGGCAGCAUCGCCGGCGUGCUCCUCCUCCUCUCUCGCCAGAGGUAGGAGACGACCCCGACAGUUGUGCCCUACCCGUCGGUGGCCCAGCCUCCUCCCCCGCGCUGCCCGCAGCCGCUGACCGCAGGGCCCCGCACGUCAGGUUCAAACCUGACUGCCCGCGCGCCUCAGCAGGCUGUCGGCUGGCCUUGGGCCGGCCCAGUUCCAGGCCGAGCCAGGCCAGGGACUUAGCCCAUUUUUCUUUUAGUUUUGAAAUCUGAUUUCUAAGAUUUUUAUAAAAACAUUUAGUUAUUCUUCAAAAAAUAUGUAGUAUUUAAUAAGACCAUGAGAUGAAUUUUCAAACAACUAUUCUGUUUUGUAAUAAUAAAAAGGACUAAAUUGGAAUAGUUUUGCUUCUGUUUGGUUGAUUUAAAAAGAUGUUCCUUCAUUGGAAACACGGGCAAAUAUUUUUCAAAAUAACAACUUAGAUUUAUCAGCAACAAAGAACAUUUUUAAAAAUAACUUUGUGAUCUGUUUUUGAGUGAGCUAUUUCUUAUUUAUUCUUUUGACGACGAUAGAAAAUCCGUGUGACGAGGGAAUCGGAGCGGAAGACCUCAAAGACCCCGGAUACCUAGCUGACCAAGGCAAGCAGCCUUUGACCAUGAGUGAGCAUAUGUUAUAAUUGCAUGUUAAAAUAGCAAGUAUUUUCGUGCAUAUGAUCAUAAGUGCCGGUAAAUCAUUUGAUGUGAUGUUACAGAUGGCUCCUCCGGAGCACAUGCAUUAAGCUUGAUCCUACCCCUUUCGAGGAUCAUGCUAAAAUCAUGUUGACAAGUAAUAUUGGAAUAGUAUUAGCAUGAGCAUGUUGAUGACAUAAAUCAAGUUUAUGAAAACCCCAUCGGGUGCCACUAAUGCCCGAGGGUGAUGAUGAGUUAGGUGGCCACUUUUGGUGAAGUGGUGCACCUAGUAUUUUGAGUGAGUAUGGUUUCGAAAAUGGGAUUAGAUUUAUGAUGUGUCGACUGUCCCAACCUUACCAGUACGACCACGUUAGCCCUUAUGGGAUGGGGCUAUGUUGAUUACUCUGGUCGGUGCUAGUAAAGAGCCACAUUACUAGUGGCGGGAGUGAUGUGUGGUCACUCUCGUGAUGGGGUCGUACCAGGUAGGAUGACUAUGUCAUUUUUAUGAGUUCCAAGCACACCAUUGGUCCCCGCAUGGUUGACACUGUCCAGAGUCGGUGCUCGUAAGACAUACAACAUGUGGGUUGGGUACCAAUCGAGUGGACUUCUUUGUCUAGUAUCGUCGGGGAAAAGGCAUUGAUCGGGUACUUACCUCGGGUAUGCUAUAUACCGCGAGUCCCGGAUGACACGGAAGUUUCCCGGAUCUCGUGGGUACAGCGUACUACCUCUGCAGAGUGUAAAACUAUUCGAAUAGCCGUGUCCACGGUCAAGGACAAUUGGAUAAUCCUGCUUAAACUACGUCCAGUCGUUUCCGCAUAAACCAAGUGUGUGUGAGUGGUGAUAAAAAGGUGUUGUUAUGGAAGUAAUGAUAUGACCAAGUUUGGUGACUUGGCAUAUAGGGUGAGCCCGUAUGGUUCAGCCCUUGACAGAUAUAUAUUGAUAUAUGUAAGAUGUUCUUCUAAAGUAAUUCUUUAACUUGAUGCAUAUUCAUCAUCAUUCCACCAAGAUGAAUUACACCAAAGAUGCAUGUUAUUGUUAUCAGUCACUUUCAAUGUUCAUAUCAUGGGCUGUUUGCGAGUACAUUCAAAGUACUCAUUGGCUUGUCACUGGUUAUAUUAUUGACCAGACAUGGAAGGACUGGAGUUUGGAGAUGAGUACGUCUUCGGAGACGCCCCUGCGAACUAGGACGCUUCCGAGUCAGAAUGCGUGUCGGUGUAGGAUUGAUGGCAUGGGCACCCGCUUAGCCCCUAUGAUUUCCGCUAUUAGUUUUACUAGUAUGAUUUGGCCUUAGGGCCAACCUUGUGAACUUGACCAUUCGGUCAUGUGAUGUAAUAAUUUGGUACUCAGAUGUAAGACUCUUAUUAUUUCAGUAUAUGUGUGUUCGGUGAGCAUUGAUCUCUGGGAUCACUGAGCACGAUCAUUCGGCGAUCUCGACUUGUAAGUCGGGGUCCCCACAGAGCUGGUAUCAGAGCCAUCCUGACCAUAGGAAGCCUAGGUAACAUGGACGAUAGGAAAGACGACUAGUGCACAUAGACCUUAACCUGAGAUUCUGCACCCACAAAAACUUUCUAACCCCUCUCCUCUACAUCUUGUAGAUGGCCGCCGUACCUAAGAUGCUUCUGGAGACGGGCUUUCCUCUACUUUUGAGCGAUAGCCUCGAGAAGUGCCAAGUACGUUGCACGCCCAUCUUCCUCUACCACGAGCACCGGGUCAACACCGACACUAAGGAAUAUCACAUGGACGUGAUAGUGAAGGCUAAUGACUCCCCGACUAGUUGGUUCUUUGAAGGGCCACAGAUGGAGGAUCUGAUGUUGGCAGUGGAGACCGCAGCACGACAGGCGCUUGUGCGACUCCGCGACAUCCUUCCUGAGAUGGCUGACGAGCCAGCUACUCGUCACCUACCCUUCGUUAAGGAUGAGGUAGACGGGAGUUGGACACUCAACCCAUCUUCCGAGGACGGGACGCCACUGAGGUUUCAAACCUACUUCAGUCUCUCCUUCGACACAUUAACGCACCUUUUGAUCAAAGAGUCAACAAGGAUUCGCCAAGAGCUGCACCAAGUCAAGGAUCUGCUUCACACGGAGAAGAUGAAGAACCGCAAGGUGAAAAAGGAAGGAGCACCUGAAGGACCACCUGGCUUCGCCUUCCGAGGAGGAAUACCACCGCUUCAGGCCACUCCUCUCCAGAGUCAUCGUCUGACCACGGAAGAGACAUCGAACUCUUCGCUACCUCGCCAACCAAGAGACGUCGUGAUGGUCCGCUUCCUUCUCCUACUCCUUCAAAGAAGGGAAGCACUGAUGAAGAUGAAGAUGAAGAUGAAGACGAAGAUCCCGCAGAACCCGCUUAUGAGAUCGCACAGUCUGCCGCUUAGCAUUAGUAGCGUAGGUAAUCAGGAGUACUCCCCAAGCGUAGGAGUUCAUGUAUCGGUUCAGUGAACCAUGAAUGUUGUGUAAGCAUGUUGGAUGCAAGUCGCAUUCUGCCUUAGGCAGCUUGUGAGAGACUACAUCACUUGUUUUAAAACUAAUGCAUUAGCUUUCCAAAAACCUUUGGCUUAAAAAAUUUCACACUAGCACAGCACGAGACCCCUCGUUACUAGAGCAUCAUCCCUUAUGAUUCAGCCAAUGCGGCAAAUUGACCUGUCUACUCCCUGAUAGGAUGGUGAAUGCAACUUGCAACAGCACCUUCGGCAACCCUGGCUCUGCCUCCUCAGGACAACAGCAGAGAGCCGGAGGGGAAGAUCAAGCUGGAGAUCACCACGAGCAGCAAGACGAUGUUCCACCGCCACCGCCUCCUCCCGAAAGCUUGACUAUGGCUUAGUUCCUUCAAGCUCUUCGAGAGGAACGUCAAGCCAACAAUGCUGCUAUUCAGGAGCUGGCUCAAAUCUUGGUGAACAACCCGCCGCAGAACGGGAAUGGCAAUGGUCGCUCUACUCUCUCUAAGUUCAUGCAAACUACGCCACCCAUAUUCACGGAGAUGACCGAACCAUUGGAUGCCGAUGACUGGAUCCGUACUAUCGAAGACCUCCUCGUGCUGGUCAAAUGCACUGAUGAUCAUGAGAAGGUCCUCUAUGCUUCUCACUGUCUCGAUGGCACAGCCAGAGCUUGGUAGGAUGGAUUUCAGAUCAUGCGAGCAGGCCAAGUCAUCACUUGGGCUGUGUUCAAAGAUGGAUUCCGCGAUGCUCACAUUCCUCCUGGAAUGAUGACCAUUAAGAAGCGGGAAUUCCGAGCCUUAAGGCAAGGCAGUGGAUCCGUUAAGGCGUAUUUGCAGAAGUUCAACCUCCUGUCAAGAUACGCACCUGAAGAUGUCAACACUGAGGCUGCCAAAGUAGAACGCUUUAUGGAAGGACUACAACAGUCACUCCAGCAUCAGCUGGUUGUUUGUGAAUGUCGGAUCUUUAGCGAUCUGGUUAAUAAGGCCCUCAUGUUGGAAGACAAGCGUGGUGCUAUGGACGACACCCGUAAGUGCAAGCUAAUGGGUAGUGGAGGACCGAGUAACCCGAAGCCACGCCCAUGGCAGUCAGCUCCAGCAAGACCCAAUUAUCAGCAGCUCCAAUACAAGUAUCCAACAUUUCGCCAGAACUACCGUCCUCAGCAGCAAGUCAACACCAAGCCAGCAAUCAAUCCACCGAACAACAGUGGAUUCAAGACCAAUCUUCCCUCACAAGUUACCUAUUUUGGAUGUGGACAAACAAGGCACUAUUCCAGAAAGUGUCCCAAUAAGAAGCCCGACGCACCGCGCCCCAAUGCGCCAAAUCCAGGCCAAGGAGCACCAGGCAGGAAUCAGGCUCCCCGCAAUCAGCAGUAUCACAGCAAGGGGCAGAUUAGUCAUAUUUCCGCAUAAGAGGCACAGGAAGGCCCGGACUGCAUUCUGGGUACGUUCCUCGUCAACUGCACCCCAGCAACAGUAUUGUUUGAUUGUGGUGCUUCGCAUUCUUUUGUUACACAAAGAUUGCGGAAAAAUGUGGUUUGAAACCUACCCUGCCUCACGGGCAUAUGGAAAUUCAAACCCCGGGAGCAGUGUUGAGGACCAACCUAGGAUGUAGGAAGGUCGGAGUAGUUAUCAAUGGGACGAGCUUCUCAGCGGAUCUCAUUGUGCUUAAGUCGCAAGGCCUAGUAGUAAUUCUCGGCAUGGAUUGGUUGGCCAAGCAUCAAAGCAUCUUGGAAUGUGCCAACAGGGCCAUUACCAUGACAAGCGACCAUGGGUCAAAGUCAAGUAUGUCUCUGAGCCAAUACCCGCUCGAGUACCACGGAUUAACAACCUGUCAAAGGUAGAACUCGAUCGAGUGCCAAUAGUCUGUGAGUACUUGGAAGUCUUUCCUGAUGAGCUACCAGGAAUGCCUCCUGACCGAUACAUCGAGUUCAUCAUUGAGCUCAUGCCCGGAUCAAGGCCUAUAUACAAGAAGCCUUACAUGAUGGGAUCCUAAGAUCUAGCGGAGUUGAAGAAGCAGCUGGAUGAGCAACUCAGGAAAGGGUUUAUUCGUCCGAGUGCGUCACCUUGGGGAUCACAUGUUCUUUUCGUGUCCAAGAAGGAUGGAACCAUCAGACUCUGCGUCGAUUACCGUUCUCUCAAUGAGGUCACAAUCAAGAACAAGUAUCCACUCCCCAAGAUUGAAGACUUGUUUGAUCAGUUAAAUGGAGCUAAGGUAUUCUCCAAGAUCGACCUCCGAUCUGGAUAUUACCAAUUGAAGAUCCGACCCGAAGACAUACUCAAGACUGCGUUUGUGACCCGGUACGGUCUGUACGAAUGCACUGUCAUGUCUUUUGGAUUGACUAAUGCCCCAGCUUACUUCAUGUACCUCAUGAACAAGGUCUUCAUGGAAUACCUGGAUAAGUUUGUUGUCGUAUUCACUGAUGACAUAUUAAUCUUUUCCAAGUUCGAAGAAGAGCAUGAACAACACUUGAGGUUAGUGUUGGAAAAGCUUCGAGAGCACCAACUUUAUGCCAAGUUCAGCAAGUGCCAAUUUUGGCUGAACGAAGUUGGAUUCUUGGGUCAUACCAUGACAACAAGUGGUUUGGCAGUUGAUCCCUCCAAGAUUACUACGGUAACCAACUGGGAAUCGCCAAUUGAUGUGAAGGAAGUCAGGAGUUUUCUCGGACUUGCGGGAUAUUACCACAAGUUUGUAGAAGGAUUCUCCCGCAUCGCUCGACCUAUGACUCAGCUCUUGAAGGAAGGCAAGAAGUCCGAGUGGACGCCGGAGUGUGAAGCAAGCUUCCAAGAAUUGAAGAAGAGAUUAACUACCGCCCCGGUAUUGGCCACUCUAGAUAUCAGCAAGGAGUUUGUGAUAUAUUGUGAUGCCUGUAGGAUCGGGCUCGGUGGGGUUCUAAUGCAGGAUGGCAGAGUUGUGGUGUAUCUAUCAUGACAACUGCGCCCUCAUGAGGAGAACUAUGCCACCCAUGAUCUCGAAUUGGUAGCAGUAGUGCAUUCCCGGAAGACAUGGCGACAUUACCUUCUGGGGAAGCGAUGUGAAAUAUACACUGACCACAAAAGUUUGAAGUAUAUCUUCACCCAAAGGGAAUUAAAUAUGAGGCAACGAAGAUGGUUGGAGUUAAUCAAAGACUAUGACCUCAGCAUUCAAUAUCACCCCGGUAAGGCCAAUGUGGUGGCUGAUGCCUUAAGCCGGAAUACCAGCACCUUGAACGUCAUGCUCAAGGAAAGGCAACCUGCCUUGUACGAGGAAUUGGAAAACUUCGGUUUGGAGCUAGUAGAAUCAGGAUUCCUAGCCAACCUCGAAGUCAAACCGACGCUGGUUGAUGAUAUCAAGGAGGUCCAGAAGGAUCAUAAGAGCAUUGAAGGCAUCAAGAAGGAGAUCCAAGAAGGCAAGGCCCCAGGAUUCUCGGUGGAUGAACAAGGAGUAGUGUGGUUUGGGAAACUUUUAUGCGUACCCAACAAGGCUGAACUCAAGGGCUUGAUCCUACAGGAAGCACAUGAUACACCCUACUCUAUUCACCCCGGUGGUACCAAGAUGUAUCAAGAUCUCUGAGAAAGAUUCUGGUGGCAUGACAUGAAGAGGGAAAUAGCAUCUUAUGUUGCCAAGUGCGACGCAUGCCAGCGAGUCAAGGUUGAGCAUCAGCAACCUGCUAGAUUGCUACAACCUCUCCAGGUGCCAGAAUGGAAGUGGGACAAGAUAGGCAUGGAUUUCGUUACCGGCUUACCGAGGUCUAGUAGAGGCCAUGACUCUAUAUGUGUCAUUGUCGACCAUCUGACCAAGGUGGCCCAUUUCAUUCUAGUCAACACGACUUAUGAUGGGAACAAGUUGGCUAGUCUCUAUAUUGAGCGUAUUGUAAGCCUUCACGGAAUUCCCAAGGAGAUUGUAUCUGACAGAGGUACGCAGUUCACCUCAAGAUUUUGGAAGAAGUUCCAAGAAACCCUUGGAACCAAGCUCUCUUUCAACACCGCUUUCCACCCGCAAACGGGUGGACAAACGGAAAGAGUGAAUAAGAUACUAGAAGAUAUGCUCCGCACUUGUGUCUUGGCACAUGGUGCCAAAUGGGAAGACUGUAUGCCAUUCGCUGAGUUUUCAUACAACAACAGCUACCAGUCGAGUCUCCAAAUGGCCCCAUUUGAAGUGAUGUACGGACGGAAGUGCCGCACCCCGCUCAACUGGUCUGAAACCGGUGAAGGGCUGAUUUCCGGGCCGGAAGUUUUGCACAAGGCAGAAGAGAAGGUGCAACUUGUCCGAGAAAAUCUAAAGGCAGCCAAGUCGCGACAAAAGAGCUAUGCGGAUUCUCGCCGCAUGGAUGUGGAGUUCAUUCCCGGAGACCAGGUGUACCUCCAUGUCACACCUCUCAAGGGAACCAAGUGUUUCCAUGUUAAAGGGAAACUCGCUCCAAGGUUCAUUGGACCUUUUAAGAUGACGGCAAGGCGUGGAGAAGUUGCUUAUCAGUUGGAGCUACCCCCGGAAAUUUCGGGUGUGCACAACGUAUUCCACGUGUCACAACUCCGGAAGUGUCUUCAAGCGCCAAACCGUUCUAUUCUUUACAAGGACAUUGACCACCAGGCCAUUGACCUUCAGCCAGAUCUCACCUACCACGAGAAGCCGGUCCGCAUUCUGGAUGAAGCUGAGCAUUGCACCACAAGCCACACCAUCAAGUAUUUCAAGGUUCAGUGGAGAAACCACACCGAAGACGAAGAAACAUGGAAGCGUGAAGAAUAUCUCCGAUGUGAGUUUCCGGACCUUUUUAGCACCUAGCUUAGGAAUCUCGGGGACGAGAUUCUUGUAAGGGGGAUAGGUCUGUCACACCCUGUUUUUGCUACCACUUUCUUUGUAAUGCAAAAAUCUGAGCUUGUUAAAACUUCUUCAAAACUAAUGAUGUGAGUGCCAUUUUGUCAUUGAAUGACUUGUGUGAUGAUCAUGUGAUGAUAAAACCCCAUUUCACAAUAUUGAAUUAUUUUCAAAACCUUCUUCUUGUUUGUGAUCAUGGUAAAACCCUACUUUGAGUUGCAC
RNAcentral lists this long non-coding RNA (57048 nucleotides) under Hordeum vulgare. RNAcentral describes it as "long non-coding RNA (HVUL_LNC007481)". The record is from RNAcentral. Lineage: Eukaryota; Viridiplantae; Streptophyta; Magnoliopsida; Poales; Poaceae.